UGAAAUGAUGAAAACAUGUGAUUACCUAAAUUUCCUUCCGGCAUAGCUUCUAUAAAAGAAGCAAUCAUCUCCUCGUCGCAACUCUCUACUGCCAAGUACAAGGGAGACUUGUCUUCCUUGUUCUUGUGGUAGGAAACUUCUAGGUCUUCAUAAAGGAGGAAACAGGCCACCUCUCGGCAACCCUUGAUGACUGCAUCAUGCAAAGGGGUGUUUCCUUUAUUAUUCUUCAUCCUUAGCAAGCUAGCAAGUUCAAGUGUUCUAUGAUGAAUUUUCACAUGGUUGACGAGAAUUUGAAUUGUGUCAGACUGUCCAGCCCUGGCAGCCAGAUGAAGCGCAUUAUCACCCAGGAAAUUUUCCCUGGUGAUUAGGAGGGGGAAGUGAUGACACAGUAGGUGUGUCACAUCUUCGCUUCCAUGGCUUGCUGCAACAUGAAGCAGUGAAUUUCCAGAGGCAGCAACAUGUUUGAAAAUGAUAUUGAGCACUUCCUCUGAUGAAACAUGUUCCAGUUUAUCGGACAAGAGACCGAACAGGGCAUUGAAGUUGUCUUCCUUUGCAUAGGUAUAAACCUCCUUCUGCAGUAUUUUAUUUGGCUCAGAAAAACCAUAAUCUGCAAUCGGAACUGGGAAUUUAACUGCCUUCCAUCGUUCAAGCUCCUCAUUUACUGGUCUCGGCAUAUCUAUUUGUAAUUGCAUAGAGAGUUGCAACGUGCUGGAAGAUUGUAAUAUGUCGGUUGAGUGCUCGAUCUCUUCUUGAGUGACUUAACUUUGCUGCGGUUGUAUCUGUGGUAAUUACAUGUCUUGUUAUUUGGCCAAGCAAACUAAAGAAUUCAUAGAAAACAUGACUGCAAGAAAUAUGGUAAUUAAAGUAUUAGUGAGAGAAAACGUACAUUAGCUACAUAAUUUCUCGAAAUACAAUUAUUUAGGAGCAUAAUGUCAAAAUUAAACUGUUAACGCGUUGUCGAUUUUUUCAAGUAAAAGUUUUUUUUUAUAUUUACAUCCAAAAAUAACUACGGGUUUGUGUAUUGUAUUUAUAAAUAAAAUAAUAUUUUACGACUUUUAAUAUAUUUUCUAAUAGUAUUAUAUAAAUUAAUAAACUAUAUGCACAAAUAUAUCAAAUUAAUAUAAUUGUUUUUAGCCGCAAACAACUGAUGCCAGUUUGUUAAGAAGAAUUUGAAUAGAAUCUUAAAAAAUAAUUCUCAUAAUAUAUGAAGGAGAAAAUAAUACAUAGAUAAAAGUCAAUUCUCUCCAUAAUAAAGAUCAUUCUCAAAAUGCACACUCCAAACACACUAAAGCAAAAUGAAAGGUUUAAUCAUCAUACAAUCCUGACAUAAAAAAAGAAGUCAGACCAAUCCCUCGUAUCCAUACACUCUAAAUUUUGUGCCAAUAACAAAAAAACUAAAUGCAAAAUCUAUAAAUAGUUUUUUUUUAAAAAAAAAAAACAGUGAAUAUCUUCUCUUUUGAAGAAUGAGAGAUAGAGUGUACAGUGUAGGAAAAAUUAUAAUUAACCUAAAUACAGGGAUCAUACCUCCUUUCUCUUGUUUACGAAGACGUUUCGGGUAUUUUUCAUGCACUUUCGAUGAAUUGCAAAAAAAAAAAAAAACCCGAACAAAUUUAAACUGAGAUAUUGACACCAAAAAAGAAAAGAAAAAGAAAACACCGAACCAUUACACUAAUCAUGAGAUUCCAUGUUAAAAUGAAAAGGAAAGAAUAUAUAAGAAAAUCAAUUCUGAAGGAGAACCAUAUAAAUGUGUACCUGUAUAUUAGUGUAAACUGAGAGAGAAGGAGCGUGAAGGGAGAUGACGAAGAAGACCAGUUUCCUGCAUGCACAAGUACUUUCCCUGCCAAUAAUUAGACAAAAUUAAGAGACUUGUGCAUACCGAGAGGUUUUUUAAGCUCUAAGAAACAAACUCCUUAGGUAAUAAGGUUUCUAAAAAAGAAAAAAAGGUUUCUUUGCUUUUCACUUUUCUAUUUAAAAGAGAGUGUGCUGAACAAGCAACACGUUGGCAUCCAUUUCAAGCUUUAAAAUUAGAAAAUGUGAUUUUAGAUAUAUAUUUUUUUAUUUUAAAGUAUUUUUUAUUUAGAAAUAUAUUAAAAUAAUUUUUUUAUUUUUUAAAAUCAAUUUUUAUAUCAACGCAUCAAAAUCAUCUUAAAACACAAAAAAAUAUUAAUUUGAAAUAAAAAAAUAAAAAAAUUUUAAUUUUUUUAAAAAUAUAAUUUUAAAACACAAAAACAAAUAUUACUGACUGAACUCAAAUUUUUUUGGAUGCAUAUAGUACUUUUUUCUUUUAGAAUCUUUUCUUUUCUAUUUAAAAGAGAUUGUGAUGAACGAGCAACACAUGUUGUUUUAAUAAUCCUUUUAUAAUAUCAAGCUUUAAAUUUGACAAAUUUAUAAAUUAGGUUUCUCUUAUCAUUAAUCCGAAUUCCUAAUAAUUUUUAUUCAAAUUUGACCACAUCUUUUGUUCAUUGUAGCAUUAAGCUUUGUUGAACAUCAAUUACUAAUCAUACCUGAAUUUAAGCCAUUCAAAUAGCUACCAUCGCCGCCCUGCGGUCACCAAAUCAAACGUACAUCAUACCUCUAUUUUCUAUGCUUUUAUUCAGUUUUGUAAUUGCUUGCUUCCAGUUCUUGUGCUUAGAUACUCUGUUUGCUGAUUAAGUUACAUAUUCCCUGAUCUUUUGUUUGCGGAUUCGAUUUUUAUCCCAAUUAUUUUUAUUUUUCCAAUGAAAACUUUCAAUGAACAAGUUUCUCAUCAGAUAUUUGUGUUUCAUCGGUCAUUCCAUCAUAAACUUUUUUUUUUUUUUUUUAUGGAAUGACCAAUAAAAAUAUUCAUGCUAAAAAAUUAGAUUUUAUCACCCAUUUGUCAUCGGGAAGUCCGUCCAAGAAAAGGAGCAAAUAUUACCGCUGAAAUCAUGGAUAAAAAUACACUUUAAUUUCCAAUGGAAAUUCCUUCAUCAAUUCCAUUGGAAAUACCUAAACUUUAUGUAAAUUUCGAUGAAAUGUGAGUAAAUAUUGCCGACAAAAAUGCAAUUUUUUUGGUGAUUCUGUUUGUGUUCCAUACUUUUUUUAUGUUGUUUAGUUUUUAUAAUCCCAAAUGCAUUUUUUAUUAACACUAAACUCAUAACAACAAUAAUAAAAUUAAAAAUAUUAUAACAAAAUUCCAUACAUAAAAAUUUUGUAAAUAACAUAUUAAAAUUUUUAAAAAGUUGGAGGGGGUGAAAAAAAUCAUGAUCUAUAAGCUCCACGAGAGGGAGGAAAAUAUAAAGCCAAAUACGCACGUAUUUACUCUCAUUUUCUAUUAUUUCUUGUUUGAUUUUUGCUCUUAUUUCUUCUAUUAGUUCUGCCAUUAUUUAUGCUCUUAUAUUAUGCAACUCAAUAGCCAAUUGUUAUGGAAUCCUAUCUCAAACCAUCUCCUUAAUGGCCGAUGAUGUCUGGUUGAAGUUGGAAUAUUGUGUGCCUACCAUUAAAACACUACGAAUCACCCUUGUAUCUUGGUCAAUGCUAUAGGCAUACCACAAACUAAAUUCUUAUCAAGUCUAUUAAUUGUGUUUUUCAUGUUUAACAGCCAUGUUGGCAUUAUAUAUAUUUGUCAAAACAAAACAAAAGGUCAAAAUCCAAUUAAACUUAAAAAAAAAAUAGUAAUACAAUUAUAACUAUCCAAAAAUACUUACAAUGAACUCUUUUACUGUUUCACUGUAUUAUUGAUAAACCUUUUUAUCUUUUUUGCUUAUCUUCUUUUCUUAUAUGAGUUUCCUAAUAUAAUUCCAUUGGAGUAUGUUCGCACCAAAACUGUUUUUCCUAUACAAUAAAUAGUUUGUAAAAAAGUCUCAUAAAUAAAAAAUAAAUUAAUAAUUAAAUAUAUAGCAAUGCUCUUAUUAGGCUAUUUGCAUGGUUCACCAAGGAAAGUGUUCUUCAAGUGUGCAUGCUCAUCAAACCAUGAAUUUUCUUUUUUCCUUUUGUUUUGAGACCUAGAUUUUGAGCACUUUUUAAAACCAUAUGAUGCCAAAACUUCUUGAAACUUAGCCCAAUUACUCUUUGUGACGUGUCUCGAUCAUCUAAAAUUUUUCCACAAUACUAUGUCAUCAAAGUUGGCUCUGUUCAUUGAAUAUCUAGAAACAUCAUGCCACAAAUCACGCAACCUAGUAUAGUAAUUUGAUAAACAAAAUUAAGAUAAGGAAAUGAAAUAUUAUAGUUUUACAAUAAUAAUUGUUUUUUGCAUUAUACUUACCUAAUUACAAUGUGGUUUUCCCACACAUUUCUUACAACCCCCUCAUUUUCCUUGUCCUGGUAAUUUUUUUUUCCUUGUAGUCAAACAUUAGUUAUUUUUAAAAAUUUUAAAAAACUAUAUAUUAACUCAAAGUAUAUAUUAUUUAUUUAACCAUUAACUUUUCCCAAAAACAUCUACUAUAAUCAUACAUUUAGAAUGAUCUUAAAGUUGACUCUAUUAAAACAAUGGUUUUUCAAAAACAAAUUUAAGAUUAAUUGUAUUAAAGAGAAAAACUAUAAAAAAAAAAACACAAAAAGUGUACCUAAGAUGUACAUCAUCUUGUAACCCAAAUCAAACUGACCUUAGACAAUAGGGGAAAAAAAAAAGCUAAAAAAAAUUAAAAAUUUCUGAAAAUAAGACUGCUUGAAUAAUAGCAUAGAAAAUCAAUUCAUCAAAAUCAUUUAAUGUAAAACUUAAAAUAAUCUAUUACAAAUAAAUAACUUCAAUGGUGAGAUAAAAAACAUGACUUACAUUGUGUCGUUGGCUUUUUAUGUUGCAAUAAGUUUUCUUGAUACAGGGUCUCUAGAAGAAGGGAUUCUACCUUUUUUGUUUGUGAAAUUCAUUGUUGUAAAUGAGAUCAUUGCAUAAUUAGUUGGCAUCAAAGGACAUAAUAAUCUCUCUCUUUGUAUGAUUAAUAGAAAUGAUACUGUGAAUCUGUAAAUUAUGCCAGAAACGCUUUAUUCUGUUUCUAAAGGACUCGAGGCUAUUGCGCUAAGCGUUGAAGUGCCUAUGUUCAGAAUCAUUUUAAAAUUACCUGCAUUAUUGCAUUUUUGUUCCACUAGAAAUUGUUUCUGAUGUUUUCGACAUUUACAAAUAAUGCAAGGUCCUAUCCUGGUACUGCUACAUCUGCUUGGUGUCGCCUUGUUAAGUUAACUGGGUAUUUGCAUAAUGUUUCCAGGCUGAUGCUUUUGAAAGCCAGCGUGGACAAUGCAUUGAUAUCACCUGGAAAGUGAUAAUUUAUUUAAAUAAAACAGACUUUACCAAGGUGGUGGAAACAAUGCUAUACAGCCCUGACAAAUAAAUGUAUAAAUGACAUGCGAGAGUUAAACUGGUUUUGCUUACACCAUUGUGCAUAGAACUGCUUAUUUCCUUUUCUGAAGAAUGUUCUUUGUACGCUUAAUUGAACUAGUCUCUUUAAGUGUUCAAUGGUUCUCACCAACCAUUUGUCAAAGAAAUAAAGAAGUCUGUUAAUUUUAUUGGUUUGCCAUUCCAACAGGGGCUGGAUCCCCUUUAAAUUGUGCAUGCAACUUGUUAGCAAACCUCUUAUUUUGGUAGGCAGAGUUUAUCCGUGUUGUGACUUCAGAUAAUAACAAUGACUGAUUUGGUCAAUCUCUCAAAAAGUUUUCUGUAUUCCCGAGAGUAAUAAUCCUAAUCAUCAUUUUAGGUUAGUUGACAGAAUAUCUUUCUUGGUUAUUUCUUAGUUCAUAUGAACCAAACCUGCCUCAUUCCUCCCCUCAUGCGAGGUAGUUAAGUAGUGUAUGAGCCCUAGUACUGGUUUCAAGAUAUGACUUAUCACUGUGUAUAUGUCUGUAGUUAGUUUAGCUGAGAGUUCAAACAAGUGUUUAUGGUGUUAAACGUUUUUCAAUCAUAAAUUGUUUUGCAGAUAUAAUUGAUGAAUUGGUGAAGAAUGGGAAAGAGAUAAGGCUGUAUAUUUUGCUUCUGAAUCUGGUUUGACGAAAAGAUUUUCUCCUGUAUCUCUACUCAAGUCAUAUCUUAAGAAUUCCAAGAAGAUCACAACUACUGUCUUGAAGAAUGGCAAUUAUAGUGUAGCUGCAACGGUGUGUCUAAUCUCUAUCUACAUUGUGUAAUUCUAAUGACAUGAAAUAUUUGAGUCUUAUUAAUUUUUUUGCAGGAUGAGUCAAGUACCUUGGAGGGUGAAUUCUAUUAAAGCAAUCAUCAAAUGUGUGGAAGAUCAUAAGCUUGAAUCAGAAUUUUCCCUUGACAGCUUGAGAAAACGGGCUUCUCUGCUUGAAAAAAACAAAGCAGAGAGGAAGAGGGGUACGUCAGCUGCCACUGCUACCAAGUCUCAAAACAAGCGAGGCCAUGGUUCAGGUGGUGGCCGGGACAGUGGACCUACUCCUUAUCGACAAGCCAAAGCUGCCAAAUUUUCAAACAAUUAUUCCUCUUUCAGCCGCAGGAAUGCUCCUCUCCCUGCACAGCAUAGCCCGGCUAGAAGAUAUUCAGGGCCAUUCCACUACCCUAGCCAGAGUGUCUACGAGGGCCCCGCAGCAGCCCCGUAUGCAUCAACUUAUGGUAUCUCGCACGCUCAAAGCCCUUCUGCAAUCUCUCAACAACCCUACCAUCACUCUCAAAGCCCCAGUGCAAUUCCUCAACAACUCUACUCACAGCCAGCGGAGAACAUGAGUGCUGCCGGUUUCCGUGCCAGUGGUUCUUAUGGAAGCCAGACCGGUUACGGGGCAUAUGAUUACGGCUCUGCUGCACCCGUUACUUACCAACCUUCAUCCUACACUCAAUAAGAUGGGAGGAACCUAGCCAGGUGUUAAGAUUCUUAUUUUUAUUUGGUGUCUGAUUUCUGGAUGUGGCCCUCUAAUUUUGGGACCCGCCCCCUUCAUCUCCCUUUCCCGUAUAAAAGUUUUUUUUUGGUCUUAUCUCAUGACUGGAUAUGAUGCCCAUGCCUGUAACGCUGAUUACCUUUAUAUGGAGCUCAAGCUGGAUGUGAUUUCCGUGCUGUGAGUUUUAAAUGGUUUGGCUAUCGAGCAUUGUAUUCUUUCAACUUCUUUCCUUGAUUGGAGUCGCCAUUGGGUGCCUAUGCUUGUGUUUUUGCCAAAUUUUGGUUAAUCAAACCAAUUUCAUUUGCUGCUUGCACUUUUUUAAGAAGGAAGAAAUGAAUAACAAGGAACAUGUUAAUUAAUAGGACUAACUUGUUAAAAUCACAACAAUUUAGUAAUCAUGCUAAAAAUCCAAUUUAGUAAGAACAUGGCUAUAAUGGGUAACAAUUAUCUAGUCCUUGUAAUUGAUAGACAUCAUUCUUUUGGCCACUAGGUCUGAAAAUAACUCACAAACAUUCAGACCAAUGGAGAAACUUGUAUUAGAUGUUCUAUAAAAUGGUUAUUCAUCAUCUAAUUCUCUACAUAAACAAAUAACUACAUAUGGUAAUCAAUAACACCAUUUAGGCUUUCAUUGAUUAGCUCAAUCAAAACUAAAAUGAGCUCAAAUAAAGUUGACCAAGCACUUGUUUUUGUACUGUUUCUUAGGAGACAAGUCUUAUGAUAUCCUUUAAUAAUAAGCACUCUAAUAAGAAUAUUUGGAAGUAGUCAUAUUCUAAGUAUUACAUGUCCACAUAAUAAUAAUUUCAACAUAAUUUGGGUACACACUUCCAAGUGAUCAGUUAAUGUUUAAUUUUACGAUAAAAUAUUUCAUUUUAUUAGUUUAGAGCAAUUAAGGCUUUUGGAAAUAAAAUUAAAUCCUUAAAAACUUGUGAACACCUUUAAUUUUGUCCCAUUGAGGACUAGUUUCUAAUUUUAGUUGUAGUUAUUUUUUAUUUUAAUUUGGUUUUUCCAUAUAUUUUUUGAAAAUUGUCUUGAUAGUUUUUAUUCUUAGAUAUAAUGGUCCAUAAUAUGAAGACAAAGGUCUAGUGCUUGAUUGAUGUUCAAUUUUAUCAAAAUAUGUUUAAAUUGAGUUGACUUAAAGCAAUUAGGGUUUAAAGGACCAAAUUUGAUUAUGAAAUAAAUAUGAGAGACUAAAAUUAAUGAGUAUAGUUAAAAAGGUACAACAGCUUUGGCAGCAUAUGCAACCUUUUCUAGCGGCCAACCCACCCUUCCACGGUGGCGAUCGAUGUAUCUUAGAAUUCUUUUCUUGCAAGGGUAAUUAACACAUGUAUUCUUAUUCUUGGUGGUGUGUCGUUAGCGUUAUUUUUUUAUUUUAUUUUAUUUAUAUUUUUCCUCUCUUUUCUUUAAAAUUCAUGCUAGCCAUUUCAAAUUUCGUAGUUGUCUCCUUGUUUUAGUAUUAUUUCAAAUUCGAAUCUUUUUUUAUUACUAAGUUUUUGUUCUAGAUCUUUUUUUAAAAUGUAAAAUUGUUUUCAAUUUUCUCAUUCAAUAAAAAAUUACAAGUUGUCCUUUUUUUUAUUUUUAAAAUUUGGUCCAUAUUUUUUUAAUUCCUAUUUUUAGUUUUUGAUCCUAUAGUGAAAUUAAAUUUUCCUUUCAUUUUCAUCAUCUAAUUUGUUUUUAUUUCUAAUUCUAUUCUUAUUCUUUUGGUUGGCCUUGAUCUCUUUUUCUGUCCUUCUAGGGUGCUGUAAUCACCAUCAACAAAGUGGCCUUUUAAGGAAGAAGUGGCUCAAAUUGUUUAUAUAGUUGGGUUACAUUUUAAUAUAGUCAUGUAUUUGAAAAAGUAUUUAGUUAAUUAAUAUAUAUAUAUAUUACUAAAAAUUCUUUUAAAAUUUUAAUUAAAAUAUAAUAUAAUUUAUAACUUUUUUUAAAUGUAUUUUUUUAAAUCACAUAUCUAUCACAAAGAAAGAUCUUUUCAUAAAUCCCAACUUUCGCAAGAAUAUUAAUCAUGAGUCCUUACAUGUCCUCUUCCUUGUUGAAUUCUACGGCCUUCGAAUGUCAUGUCUAUGCCGAUUUACUCGGGUAUUUCUUUAUGCAUGCAUGCAAAAUAAUAUAAUAAUUAAUUAUUAGUUUAUAGAGGCUGAUAAAUAAAUAAAAUAUAUAGUUUAUUGAGUUUCCAAAACAAAACAAUCGCAUCUUGUGGUCAUCAACCAAAUCUAAUACUGUUUGGGAAAACACUGUUCAUGUAGAUUAAUAAGUACUAUUUAUUAAAACAAAGUAUUAAUGAUAGUUUUGCUUUUCUCGUAAAAGAAUUUGAACCAGUUAUUUAAGAUACUUUCACAAGUUUCAUUUAUUAUUAUCAAGUCAAAUUAAUAAGUGUUUUUGUAUUUUGAAAUCAUAGUAAAAUAAUUAAAAUAUGUUUACAUGUAAAAAAUUAUAAACUAAUGUCCAAGUGCUUUUUAGUAUUUUUACACUAGUUUUUUCAUUAUUAUUAGGUUAGUUGAAGGAAAAACUAGUAUUUUAAUAAAUAAAAAAUAUUAUUUAAAAACAAAAAACGACUAGCCUAUGUAAUGCUUGUGCAAGCAUAUAAGCGGCGCUAGCUACACUCAAGUGGCAUCUCUCAACGAUCAAACAUUAGUUUUUGCCAUGUCAUUGGAAGCACUGCAACAUACUCUUCCUUUAAGAACGACACAUGGUGUUAUUGGGGUGGCGGUGUGAUGUUGGUGACUUUUUUUUCUUCUCAUUCCACUUUACUCUUUCCUCCUCUUGAAAAUCGUGUUGGCCAUGCGAAAUUUCAAAGUUGUCAUCUAAUUUAUUGAGAUGUCAAAUUUAUUAUUUAUUAUUUUGAUUUAUUAUUUUUGUUUUUGGUUAUUUUGUGAAAUUUUGAGUUAUUUUUAAUUUUAUCUUUCAAUCUCAAUUUGUGAUAUAUUAUGUUUUUUUUCAAUUUAGUCUUCAUUCUUUUGAUAGUUUUAUUUUGAGUCCUUUUGUUAAAUUGAAUUUUCUUUUCAAUUUCACCCUUCAAUUAAAAAUAAAAUUUAUUUUUUUUAUUUUAAUUUUGAUCCUCAUUCCUUCAAUUACUAUUUUUUUUUUUCUAAAUAAUUGAUUUUUCUUUUUUUCAUUUUUAAAUUUUAUCAAAAACGCACGUGAUUAGUUGUUGUCAAACUAUCUAGUGCUAAGAAUUCGAAAGUCAAGUACCCUGCAAUAUGAAAGAACUCUGAAAACACACACCAGAGACAUGCAUGUUCUGCUUUAUAUUUAACCAAAGUCGUUACAAGAGAGAGGAGAAAGAGCUUAUCUAUUUGUUACAAGAGAUACAAAUUACAUGAGAUUUAAAUACCCUCCAGUUUGAACUGGAUGUGAUCCUAUUCUCCACCCAUAAAAAUUAUAAGGAAUUUAAUGGGAUUUGCAAGCAGGACAGACAUUACUGAAAAUCUAGAGUAACAAAGUACUUGCCAAUAAUAAAAAGAGGAUUGGAAUGUGAUGAUGGUUAUGAAAAAUCCAGUACGUUCUUGCACCGUGAUUGCCAGGAUGAAUGUAUAUGCUAAACCCAUGAAGGAAAGGCCACAUAUGAUACAAUAUGUCGCCAUGUCCAUGCUUAUUCUUACAUUACCGGUACGACCUAAUGAUAUCCGACAAAGGAUUAUAGCGGCGAUGAGGGAGAAAUUCAUAGCUAGCAUGUCAAAAAAAAUAUAAGCUCUCAUCAGAUAUUUUGAAGUACCACUGCUAAGAUCAGAACCUGAUCCAGGCACAGUGAUAGCACCAGCGAAGGUUACUCCAGCUACCAGUACUGCCACCACGAGAAGAUUCCCUACCCCUCUGUUCCGUUCCUCCGUCGUUAACGUCGUUCUUGGUGAAUCAAAGAUAAGAUUGAUGCCAAACUCAUUCUUAUCAUCUUCCUCCACCAAAACUUUUAAUACCUCACGCUGAACAACAAAAUGUUAAUUAGAAAAUAUAUGGUAAACAAAUUAAUUAUAUAAAGCAUCAUGACAAUGUUAUCUUAAUAUCCCAUAAUAACGAAGAAGUAACUCAUCGCAAUAUAUUUAGUAGAUCAGCGAGGCAUUCCAUAUUUUUGAGCAAGUAAAGAACUUUAUUUCCACUUUGGAUUAAUCAAAUUUUAGGUAAUUAAAAGAAAUCUAUCAUUCCCUUUUCUAUAAAGUUGCAACAUGGACAGAAUGUGGAUGUGAAAGUUUUUGCUAGACUAGAAUGUAUUUACUUCAAUCACCUGAUUAGCUUCUUACGUGGACGAAACCCUCUGGUAUUGAUGAAUAUAAAAGAAUUAAAUGUGACUGAGGUUUUGAAAAUUAAAAAAUCUUUUUAAAUGAGUAUUGAUUGUUCCUAUAUAUGCAAUUACUAGAAGCUGGUUGUGAGUAUAAUGCCAUUACUAGAAGCUUAUUGGCAUAUGGAAAAAACUAGAGAGUAUUUAUGCUUCUAGACCCAUGACUAAUCGUUUUCUUUUGAAGUUAGAUUUGUACUCUUGAGGAUGGAUGAAGGAAUGGGUAUACACAAGAGUUAAAAGGUUGACAACACAAGUAGUCAAUAUUAGAAAAAACAAAAUUGGGGAAAAAGAGCGAAACCUCAUUCUACAAGCCAUUGGUGCAAACAAUACUAGUUAAAAGGAUAACUUUAGGUUUAAUCUUACUAGAUAGAAUAAAAGGUUUUGAAAGGUAACGAGGCAUUGGUGAUGGAAGGUAAUCUAGGAAAUAAAAUUAUGAUUGUCAUGGGAGGAACAUGGCAUAAAGAGGUAGAUUUGGUAUAAAAAACUCUAUUUGAGAUUCUAGAUCUAGAGUGGAAUACAAUAUUAAUAUUUUUAUUGUCAUUGCAAAAUACUAGUUAAAAGGAUAACUUUAGGUUUAAAUGAUACAACUAUAAUUUUAUUGGAGAAUGAUAGGUUUUGAAAAUAGAAAACAAUGUCAAAAGGUAACGAGGCAUUGAUUAUGGGAGGUGGUCCUGUAAUUUACCAUGAAAGAUGGGAGCAAAGUGUUGAAUAUUAAACUCAAUCCAGAAGCUCCCAGAAGGUCAAGGAAGACAACCAGCCACCAGCCACCAGUCGCCGACCAGCCGCCAGCCGCCUUCACACUUGAAGGUUGAAUUUUCUAGUUUUUGAUUUCGUGUAUAAAUAGAGUGCCUAGCUUCUGUUAAUGUGUGUGGAGAGAAUUGAGAGCAACACUAGAAAGAGAAUAGAGAGAGAGAGGGCAUGUACUGUUAAGCUUUUGUUAAUUAAUUGUAAGCUUGUGUUUUUGUAACAAAACUUUGUGUUUUAUCCCCUCUGAGUGUUUCAAAGUCACCACCAGUGGUUUCUCCCAUGCACCAACAAUUAGUAUCAGAGCCCCGUUCGUCAGAAAACAGAAGUGUUUUGGGGUACAUCCGAAUUUUCAAAGUUGUCAAAAACAAGUUUUGAUCAUUCCACAGUGAAGAGCUCAUCAAUACGAACUCACUGUCGCAAGAAUCAGCCUUAUCGGAGUCCGCGGUGAUCCACACGCGCCGCCUGAAGAUCCGGUGACUGUAUCCCAUGCGCAUCCACGCGCGCCAUAUUUGAGCCGCGCCGAGCCCGAGCCGCGCCGCAAGCCGAGCCGUCCUCCGCACCGAGAGAAUAUUCCCCAAAAUAUUCCCUGAAUAUUCCUGGUUCAACCUAGCGAACCGCCCGCCGUACAUAAUUGGUUUUUUGACCGGUUCACCCAUUUUCUGACCCGAAUUCAACAAAGUCAGACCGGUUCCCUGCUAUUUGGAUCAUUCCAGAUCGAUCUACAAUGUCCGUUUGGCCAAAUUCGGCUCCUAGAAAGGUGAUAUAAUCAUUCAAAGAGCAAAAUGACUACAGAAGAUACACAUACACUCAUUCCAAAGCUGACCAAAGACAACUAUGAUAGUUGGUGCAUCAGAUUGAAGGCAUUCCUUGGGUCACAAGAGUGUUUGGAUAUUGUACAAACUGGUUAUGAUGAAUCAGAGUCCAAAGAAAGAGAAGAUGUUUUAUAAGAGGCACAAAAGCAAGCUCUUAAAGUCAACAGAAAGAAAGACAACAAAGCAAAGACCAUCAUCUAUCAGGGUCUUGAUGAAGACACAUUCGAGAUCAUAGCUUCCGCUGAAACAUCACAUGAUAUAUGGAGGCUCUCCAACAGAAAUACAAAGGUGCUGACAGAAUUAAAAAAAUUCGUCUUCAAUCUUUGCGAGGUGAAUUUGAGUUAUUGCAAAUGAAGUCCUCGGAGUCUAUUUCUGAUUAUCGCACAAGGAUUAUGGUGAUAGUCAACCAGAUGAGGAGAAAUGGAGAAGCCAUCGUCGAUUCUCGAAUUACUGAGAAAAUUUUGAGAUCGCUAGAUCCAAAAUUCGAUUUUGUUGUUGUCGCAAUUGAAGAAUCUAAAGAAGUGGACAAGUUGACAGUUGAUGAACUUAUGAGUUCUUUGCAAGCUCAUGAGCAGAAAAUUGUAAAGGGAAAUGGAGAUAAGGCAAUUGAGCAUGCCUUACAAGCAAAGCUGUCUCUCAAGGACAAAAUAUGAGCAAGGGGAGACUUCAACAAAUGGAUAUACCACUCAAGCAGGAAGUCAACAAUCCAGAGGAGGAUUCCAGAGAUUCCAAGGAAGAGGUUCUUGGAAUACAAGCUUUAGAGGAAGAGGUGGCAGAAACAUCAUUAGAGGAGAUCGAGGACAACAAGCAUUCAAUCCUAGAGGAAGAGGGGGCGAUUACAAUAACCAUGACAAGAGGAAUAUCCAAUGUUAUAGUUGCAAUCAAUUUGGGCACUAUAGCACUGAAUGCAGAAGGAAAGCUCUAUUGGAGAUACGUGAGCAAGCCAACUAUGCAGAGAAGGAUGACAGAGAAGAAGCUGCAUUUCUUGUCCAACAAGAACUUGGCGAGAAACAGGAAAAUACAUGGUAUCUAGAUACUGGAGUCAGCAAUCACAUGUGCGGCUACCGAGAGUUAUUUGGUGAUCUAGAUGAGACCAAGCAAGGUCUAGUUACUUUUGGAGAUACCACAAAGGUUCCAUUCAAAGGUAAAGGCAGCAUCCCAAUCAAGUUGAAGAACGGCGAUUCUAGCUACAUCACCAAUGUCUAUUAUGUUUCCAGCUAUAAAGCAGAACCUGAUCAGCUUAGAUCAACUUUUGAAGAGAGGAUAUACUUUUUACUCGAAGAAUUGUCAUCUGACAAUUAGAGACAACAAUUGGAGAUUAAUGGCCUACGUGAAAAUGUCCAAGAAUAAGAUAUUUCCUUUGAACAUCCAGUAUGAUGCAACAAGGUGUUUGAGUGCCAUCACCAACAGUGAAGAAUGACUUUGACGAGGCUUGGAUAUCUGAAUUUCACAAGUCUGAAGAUGCUAUCAAGCAAGAAGAUGGUCCAAGUUGCUAGAAUUGAUAAUGUUAAAAUUAAGAUAUAUGAUGAAGCAAUGAAAACCCUUUGUGAUGCUAGGACUUAGGCACAUGCAGACUUACAAGAAAGAAAGUUGGUGAAACUGAAAAUCUUACCAUUUUGAGAACUUUUACUUCCUGCGAUUUGUUCCAUACACCUCUCGCAGCAUCAUCCUCAUGCUUGGUAUCGAUUAACUUUUUCUGAGCAAGAACAAGCAAAGACAGUAUUAAUUUGUAAGUAUACAUUCGAAACUGAAUUUGAAUGUAUUUUCUUGCAUUCAGUUUUUGUAAUGUUAAAGGUUGUCCUUUUCAUUAUCAUUUUUUGCAAGUAUAUAUGAUGAUUGAUUUGGAGUAUGAUCCCCCGUGAUGUUCAAGAGCAAUUGCAAGCCCAUUAAUUAGCACCAUAAGGUCAGUUUUUCGAAAAGUCUCAGCAUACAAGCAUACCAUUCCAUCUGAAUUUGGUGCUUCAAAGCGUCCGCCUUGCAAUAAUUUCUCAACAACAGCAGAUGGUUUCAACUUUUCAUUAUUAACAAUCCUUUUAUCCACCCGCUUGUCACUCACUAGUGCCCGCACUAUCUCAGGACGGCCAUACAUUGCAGCCAAGUGCAAAGUGUAUUUCCAUCGUAAUCUUUCUCAUUUAUAAGUGCUUCCAGAUCUCGAUUUCCCAAUAUUUCAUCCACUAUUUUCAUCUGUCCACUCCCCGCUGCAACGUGAAGAAUAUUGUGUCCUUUUUUGUUGAGAAAAUCCGUUGGAUCGCGCCAAUUAGUAAGUAGUUCGCGUAUUACUUCAAGAUGGCCCUUCUGGCAUGCAACAUGGAUGGGUAAGUUGCCUUCUUCGUUUCUUUGUGAUGCGGCAACAGGACAUCGACUAACCAGGAGUCUUGCUACAGAAAGGAAGCCCAUGGAUGCUGCAUCAUGCAGAGGGGUGUUUCCAUCGUAAUCUUUCUCAUUUAUAAGAGCUUCCAGAUCUCGAUUUCUCAAUAUUUCAUCCACUAUUUUCAUCUGUCCACUUUCCACUGCAACCUGAAGAAUAUUCUGUCCUUUUUCGUUGAGAAAAUCCAUUGGAUCGAGCCAAAAAAUAAGUAGUUCGCGUACUACUUCAAGAUGGCCCUUCUGGCAUGCAACAUGGAUGGGUAAGUUGCCUUCGUCGUUUCUUUGUGAUGCGGCAACAGGACAUCGACUAACCAGGCGUCUUGCUCCAGAAAGGAAGCCCAUUGAUGCUGCAAGAUGAAGGAGAUUUCCCCCUUUUAUGUCCUCGGGAAGCAUUAUAUCCGGCUUGCCGACCGCUAGUUUUUCUAGUGCAGCAUAAUUUUAAAAUUAGAUAAUCAAUACAAAAAACACAAAAUGCAUGGAAAUAACUUGAAUUUUAUGCUAUACAUGAAAUGAAAUUAUGAAGAAUCAGUUUUAAUGAGACCAAUAAUUAUAAGUGUAACAUGUUAUUUUUCACGUCGAAAUGAUGAAAACAUGUAAUUACCUAAAUUUCUUUCCGUCAUAGCUUCUAUAAAAGAAGCAAUCAUGUCCUCAUCGCAACUCUCUACUGCCAAGUACAAGGGAGACUUGUCUUCCUUGUUCUUGUGGUAGGAAACUUCUAGGUCUUCAUAAAGGAGGAAACAGGCCACCUCUUGGCAACCCUUGAUGACUGCAUCAUGCAAAGGGGUGUUUCCUUUAUUAUUCUUCAUCCUCAGCAAGCUAGCAAGUUCAAGUGUUUUAUGAGGAUCAAUUUUCACAUGGUUGACGAGAUUUUGAAUCGUGUCAAACCGUCGAGCCCUGGCAGCCAGAUGUAGCGCAUUAUCACCCAGGAAAUUUUUCCUGGUGAUUAGGAGGAGGAAGUGAUGACACAGUAGGUGUGUCACAUCUUCGCUUCCAUGGCUUGCUGCCACAUGAAGCAGUGAAUUUCCAGAGGCAGCAACAUGUUUGAAAAUGAUAUGGAGCACUUCCUCUGAUGAAACAUGUUCCAGUUUAUCGGACAAGAGACCAAACAAGGCAUUGAAGUUGUCUUCCUUUGCAUAGGUAUAAACCUCCUUCUCCAGUAUUUUAUUUGGCUCAGAAAAACCAUAAUCUGCAAUCGGAACUGGGAAUUUAACUGCCUUCCAUCGUUCAAGCUCCUCAUGUAUUUGCAUAGAGAGUUGCAACGUGCUGGAAGAUUGUAUAAUGUCGGUUGAGUGCUCCAUCUCUUCUUGAGUGACUUAACUUUGCUGCGGUUGUAUCAGUGGUAAAUUGGUAAUUACAUGUAUUGUUAUUUGGCCAAGCAAACUAAAGAAUUCAUUGAAAACAUGAAUGCAAGGGAUAAGCUAAUUAAAGUAUUAGUGAGAGAAAACGUACAUUAGCUACAUAAUUUUUCUCAAUACAAUUAUUUAGGAGCAUAUAUAUAAAUGUUUAAAUUCAAGUAAAAAUCAAGUUGUUAAUUCUUAUUGAUCGGUUAUGUUCGAAAAUAUGGUUGAUGAUUAUUUUUUAAAAUGUUUUUUACUUGAAAAAUAAUGUUUUUUUAUUUAAAAAAAAAUUAUUUUUGAUAUCAUUAUAUUAAAAUUAUCUUAAAAUACUAACAAAAAAUAUUAAUUUAAAAAAAUUAAUUGUUUUCAAAAAUAUUUUUAAAUAAUAAAAUAACAGGUCAAAUUCCAAUUAAGGCAUUCUUUUAUAACCAGGUCCAACAAUAACUAAGGGUUUGUGUAUUGUAUUUACAAAUAAAAUAAUGUUUUAUGACUUUUAAUAUAUUUUCUAACAGUAUUAUAUAAAUUAAUAAAUUAUAUACAUAAAUAUAUCAAGUUAAUAUAAAUUUUAUUAGCGCAAACAACUGAUGCAAGUUUGUUAAGAAUUUGAAUAGACAAGUAUUGUGCGUGUACAGUGAUGAGUUAAUUAAAAUCCAAAGUGCACAGUGUUAAGUGAUUGAAAUUGUAAGACCGGGGAAGAGAAGAGACUUACCUGGUAGUUCUGGAGAUGAGGACGUGAUGGAGGACUGGUCGACUAGUUAUUGUCUUCCUCUGCUUUCACCUCUGUUUAUAAAGAGUUGUUAUAAACUGUGAAUGUUAUUGACUGCAUCGCGAAUUACGGUAGAAAUGUUUUUCUCGUGUUUUGGGUUUGAUAAUUGCUAAAAGCACUCUAGUUAGGGAGACAUAAAGAUUGGGGCUAGUCUUGCCACCGAAAGUUGUAAAGAAUACAGCUGGCGGAGUUGUCUUUUUAUAUAGAUAGAAAAUGACCAGUUUGAAUUUUGGUGAAGUAGGACGACCAGGCUGCAGAUAUCUACUGCUCGGCACGAUCCAGAUAAGAAACAGCUGGCGUAAGGGCCAGUCAGCAAGCUCAUUAGUACCGGACUACUAACACUUUUCGUGAACGGCGGAGCUAAACUGUUACUAAUCCUGGUUGUAAAGCUAAGUUAGAGCUUGAAAAUUCUUACUUGAUCGUGAUGGUUUUGCACUCUUGUGAUUUUUUAUUUAAAUUUCUUUUUAAAAUCUAAGCUAAAACCCGAUGUUGCUGAGAAGAGAUAAUAAAAAUCCCAUGGUGCUUCUCUAGUAUUAAUAAAGAUAAAAUAGUGGAUCUUAAUAAAUGAUAGAAGAAAAAAAUAUUUUUAAAGAGUAGGUUUUACAAAAAAAACAAAAGGGAAAAUCUUUAUUUCUUACUUUAGUAGAUAUAUUUGUAGGAGACAGCGCCCUCUCCUGGGGUUCGGGGCGGAGCCCCGUUUUUUUUUUUUUUUAUAGAGCUCCAAAUAAAAUUUAGUUAAAAUAAUAAAAACACAACUAAAAUUAACCUUGCAAAAAUAUAUAGGACUUAACGACAGUAUGAUUCUCACAGAAAAGGAACAAACAAAUAAAAGCUCUUAGCAUUAGUUGCACUUGCAAUCUUAAACCAAAGAUCAGCACACUCCUUUCCAAUUGGACCGGUAAUUGCUGAGCCUUCAUUUUUCCUUUGGGGUUCACAAUGACACUAGUAUUAUCUUCAAAAUACAUGAAAUAUCAAGUAGGGGGGUUUAACUAAUUCAACUAAUAUAUAAAUAUCAAGUAGGGGGGGUUUAACUACACAUAUAAAAAAUAAUAUUUUCAAUCUUUUCCUUUUUCAUUCUAUAUUUGUCUUGACUUUUGACAUGUGAACACUGAACACUUUAUCGAGGGAUAAAAGUAUUUCUUUUGUAUAAAAGGGAUGUGCAUUUUUUCCACAUGCUUUUGCAUAAAGGGACCUGCUUUUCUUUUAUCUACUUGGUUUCAUGUAUUUUCCGGGCUAUUUUGGUUUUUUUACGAGUUGGUGGAAAUCUUGUUGGCUAGUAUCAUUAUUUUACACUUGGACAUGGCUGGAAUUCUUGCCAUUUAGACUAAUCAAUUUAUCAUUCAUCUUUUUCACUUUGUUGUUGUUGAUAUCAGCUUGCUCUUCACAAGAAACAAAAUUGGAUUAUUGGUUUUUUUUUAAUUUUUUUCCUUAAUUAACCGAAUCCAAAUAAGUUGCCUUGAACUGGCGGUUUGGUUUUAUUUUUAAAUUAAAAAUAAAUAAAAAUUCAGUUUGGUUGGUUUUUUAAGUAAAAAUUAAACUGAAAAUGCUCACCUCUACAUGUAGUUCUGGAGAUGAAUAUGUGAUGGAGGACUGGUCGACUAGUUACUUGCUUCCUCUGCUCUCACCUGUGUUCUUGCUUUUCUCUGAUCGGUUUCUUCCUGUCCGUCCCGUGUUCUGCGUGUGUUUCGUUCUCCUGUGGCCUUCUGUUUUUGCUCGUCUUCUCUGUAUUAUCUCUGUUCUUGCGUCUGUGUUUUUGUUUGUGGUCUUUGGUCCAGUGUUCUCUGUGUAUUAUCUGCGUCUCCUCUCUGUCCGGUCGUCUUUGUUUUUCCUGGGUUUUUUUCGUUCGUUCGUCCUCUUCGUCCUUCCCCUUCCUCCUGGAGGCCUUUCUUCCUCUGGCUUUAUAGCCAGAGAAUGCCAUACGUUUCAGUAACGUAUUGCAUCGUGGGCAGCUGAGGCGUUGAGGCGUUGAGGAAGAUGAACAGCUCGUCUGGAAACGGCGCCGUUGAUUUUCUGUCGGUUUGGUCACUGAAGUGUGGAGAUUUCACAAUCAAGCCCCUUAAUCAGGAAAUUCCUUCCACUUGUUUUUUAAUUUCGCCCCCUGGAUAAAUUGUAAUUAAACCUCUGGAUUUUAGCAUCUUUUACUAAACAGUCCUUAGUUUCUGAAUGUUUCAAUUCAGUCCUUAAUUAAUUUUUCAACUUUUAAUUAUUUCAAAAUUAUCCCUGGAAAAAUCAAUUAAGCUCCCUAGAGUAACCCCUGCAUUUUCACUUUGAUCCUUGGACUUUAAUUCCUUACAAUUUGAACCCAAAUCAGCCCCCAAACUUUGGUAUUUUUUCAAUUUAGUAUUCACUCUUUUAAUAGUUUUAUUUUUUGAGUUUUUUUUGUUAAAUUGAAUUUUGUUUUCAAUUUUACCUUUCAAUAAAAAAAUAUUUUUUAUUUUAAUUUAAUUUUCAUGUUUUCAAUUGCUAUUUUUUUUUUAACUUUUAACAUUUUAUUGGUGGGGAAUUAUACUAUUUGUUUUUUAUUCAAUCUCAUGCUUUUAUAUUCAAUGAGUCGAGAAUUGAGUCACAUCAUUUAUUUAUUUUUAAAAUAAAAAUUUUUUCAAGUUAUUAUAAUUUUUUUUUAAUUUGUUUUAUAUGCUUAAGCUCAUUAUUUAUUUAUUUUUUCUCUGGUUUCAAUCUUCCAUAUUAGGUUUGCUCGGAACCAAGCUCUUAUACCUUUUUUUUUCCUUUUUUUGUUGAUGUUUAUUAUAAGUUAUCAUUUAAACUUUUUUUUAUUUGAUUCAAUCUAUAAUCUAUUUACCGUUGUUUUUUUUUAUCAUUUAAUUAAAUGUUAUCAGCUUAUCUGACUUUGUCACAAAGAUUUUUAACUUUUUUAGAGCACAAUUGCAAUAUUUGAACAAUUUUAUUAGCUAAUAUUUUUUUUUUCAUUUAACUUGUUGCAUAGCGUUGGGCUAUGGAUUUAGUAAUCACUACCACUUGUUUAAUUAGGAUCAGUGAAAGCUAAUUUUUAGUCAUCACUUCUUGUUUCUUUUUUUAUUGUUUAAUAAAAGUAGUUCAUUCCUUGAAUUAUAACGAAACUAUUUUAUAAUUAUGCAAAAAAAUUUUUUUCCUUUUUCUUGUUAUAUCGUAAUUACGAUAUUUAAUCUAUUUUUGUGUAACAUUGUUAAGCCAUUAUUUGUUAAUUAUUUUUUUUAACUUCAACCAUUAUUGUUUUUUCCCCUAGCAUUUUAGAAAACACCCUAGAGAUCGGAAAAACAAAAAGAGUAUGUUAUAUUAACAGCUCCAUGCCCGUGUAAUGCUUGUGCUAGCAGAUAGGUGGCGCUAGCUCCAUUUGGGUGGUAUUUUUUAGCGACCUAACACUAGUUUUUAUUGUGUCAUUAGAAGUACUGCAGUAUACUUUUUUUUUAAGGACGACACGUGGUAUUAUUGAGGUAGCGGUGGGAUGUUGAUUUACUUUUUUUCUCAUCCUAGUUUACUUUUUUUUUUUUUUGAAAAUCAUGUUGAUCAUGUGAAAUUUCAAAGUUAUUUUCUAAUUCAUUGAGAUGUCAAAUUUAUUAUUUAUUUUUGAUCUUGGUCAUUUUGUGAAAUUUUGAGUUAUUUUUAAUUUUAUCCUUCAAUCUUAAUUUGUUAUAUAUUAUAUUUUUUUAAUUUAAUCGUCAUUCUUUUGAUAGUUUUAUUUUUUGAAUUCUUUUAUUAAAUUGAAUUUUCUUUUCAAUUUUACCCUUCAAUCAAAAAUAAAAUUUAUUUUUAAUUUUAAUUUUGAUUCUCAUUUCUUCAAUUAUUAUUAUUUUUUAUCUUUCUGUAUAAUUGAUUUUUCUUUUUUUCUUUUUUAAAUUUUAACAUUUUAAUUAGUUGAGAAUUAUAUUAUUUUUUUAUUUUAUAUUUAAUGGGUUGGGAAUUGAUUCACAUCAUUUAUCGUCUUUUGAAAUAAUAUUUUUUUCAAGUUAUCAUGAUCAUUUUUUCUUAAUUUGUUCUAUAUACUCUAGCUCAUUGUUUAUUUUUAUUAUUAUUUAAUUAAAAUAAAACAAAUCUAUUUAUAGUCUAGUCUAUAACUGGUCUAUCAUUCAUUUUUCUCUAUGCUUUAGAACAUUAUGUUUUAUAUGAAAGAAAAGGAAUCCAACCCCGCAUCAUAGCUCAGGUCCACGACUAGUACAUACUAUAUUUAUCAAAAACGCACGCGAUUAGUUGUUGUCAAACUAUUUAGUGCUAAGAAUUCGAAAGUCAAGUACCCUGCAACAUGGAAGAACUCUGAAGAGACACACCAGUGACAUGUAUGUUCUGCUCUAUAUAUAACCAAAGUCGUUACAAGAGAGAAGAGAAAGAGCUUAAUAUCUAUUUGUUACAAGAGAUACAAAUUAGAAAAGAAGACAAAAUACUGAUUUUGCAUUUGAAACUAUCAAUCUAAAGGAAAAAAAAUAUUGGAUAAGAACAAAACAGACUUGGGAUGUGAUGAUGACUAUGAAAGAUCUAGUGUCUUCUUGCCGCGUCAUUGCCAGGAUGAAUGUAAAUGCUAAACCCAUGCAGAGAAGGGAGUAAAAAUUAAGAGAUGUCGCCUUCUCCAUGCUUGAUGUUACAUCACUGGCACGACCUAAUGAUAUCUGACAAAGGAUUAUAGCGGCGAUGAGGGAGCAAUUCAUAGCUAGCAUGUCAAAACAAAUAUAUAAACUCAUCAUAUUUUUUGACCAAUCACUGCUAAGAUCAGAACCUGAUCCAGGCACAGUGAUAGCACCAGCGAAGGUUACUCCAGCUACCAGUACUGCCACCACGAGAAGAUUCCCUACCCCUCUGUUCAGUUCCUCCGUCGUUAACGUCGUUCUUGGUAAAUCACACUCAGUCUUAUCAUCUGCCUCCACCAAAACUUUAAAUACCUUACGCUGAACAACAAAGUGUUAAUUAGAAAAUAUAUGGAUUUAAUUGGAGAAUUGAUAAGUUUUGAGACUUAAUUAAACUUGUAAUUAAUUUAAUUAAUCCAAUAAGGGGCUUAAUUGGAAAAGCGAUAAGUGUUAGACUUAAUUGGACUUUGGAUUUAAUGAAAUUAGGGACGUAAUUGAAGAAAUAGCAAAGUUUGGGGUUAAUUGGGGGCACGAUUGAAACAGAGUAAAGUCCAAGAACUAACUGGUAAAAGGCGCCGAAAUGUCUGGGAAAUUACAGUUUAAACCAGGGGUUUAAUUACAAGACUCGAAACUGCACAGGUCAAAAUGUAAAAUGGCCACAUUUCACAUCUCAAGACGGCGCCGUUUUAAGAGACACUGUUCGUCUUCUUCAAAACUAGAAACGAACACUGCACGAUCCUUAGUCCCUCAUUAUUUCUGCAAACGGUCGGUCACCUCAUUAUUUAGGGGUGACCGCAUGGCAUUCUCUGGCUAUAUAAAAGCUAGAGAUAGGUCAUGCACGGGGGGGGGGUGAAACAAAAAAAGACGGGACGAAGAGAGACAGAACCAGGGGAAAAUUUUGGCCCCUCAACCAGUAGCAAAUCCUCGUGCUUUUACCACUAUUGUCUUCGUCUUGAACGCAGAAGACUGGGCAGAGACACAAAAAAGGAAGAGAAACUGAGGAGAACAGGAAAAGGACAGGGAAACGAACAAGAUAGAGGAGAGCAAAUUUUCUGCCCCUGUUUCUUCUCAAAGGAACAGAGGCUGUCCUCUGGCUUUAUAAAAGCCAGAGAAGGCCACGGAGGAAAAAGGGGAUCACUGCCUUCUCCAUCUCCAACACUAGAGAUGGAAGACGGAGAGAAAAACAAAGAGACGAUAAAGGGAGAGGACGAACAAAAAAACACAGGGAGGAACAGAGACCGGAGAGGAAAAACAAAGAAAUCACAGAAGGGAGAUUAAAGAGAAAACAGAGGUAAAUAACGAACAAACACUAAGGGGCUGACUGAAGCAAGCUUCAACGGGGAGAGGAAUGAAAAAACAAUGAGGGGCUGACUGAAGAAAGCCUCAACAGGAGAUUGAACACGAAGAAAAGUCAGGGGAAGGAGAGUACUAGACAGAGAAAUAAAAAACAGAUACAGAGAGAGAGAGAGAGGGAGAGAAUCCUGAGAGCAGAAGAAAGCAAGAGAAAAAGCAAAAGAAGGGAAAUAAAUUUUUUAUAUGUUUUCUUUUAUUCUAUAGGUUUUGACAAUUUAAAAAAUCUUUUUAAAUGAGUAUUGAUUGUUCCUAUAUUUGCAAUUAGUAGAAGCUUGAUGCUUGAUUCUUCUUUAUCUCUCUAUACGACCCAUGACCAAUCGUUUUCUUUUGAAGUUAGAUUUGUACUCUUGAGGAUGAAUGAAGGAAUGGGUAUACACAAGAGUUAAAAGGUUGACAACACAAGUAGUCAAUAUUAGAAAAAAAAUUGAGGAUAAAGAGCGAAACCUCAUUCUACAAGCCAUUGGUGCAAACAAUACUAGUUAAAAGGAUAACUUUAGGUUUAAUCUUACUGGAUAGAAUAAAAGGUUUUGAAAGGUAACGAGGCAUUGGUGAUCGAUGGAAGGUAAUCUAGGAAAUAAAAUUAUGAUUGUCAUGGGAGGAACAUGGCAUAAGGAGGUAGAUUUGGUAUAAAUAACUCUAUUUGAGAUUCUAGAUCUAGAGUGGAAUACAAUGAUAAGAAAUAUUUUUAUUGUCAUUGCAAAUGUCAUAUAUAAUCCAAUUUUUGAUCAUUUUAUUGCAUAGAGAGUCACUCAAGAAGAGAGUGGAAUAUUUUUAUUGCCAAUAUUGCAAAGGCCAUGUUUGGCAUCAUUGUGACAAGAUGAAAGCCGCCUUAGAAGAAUUACGAAGUCUAGAGAUGUUACGAAUACGAUGAAAUAUGGGAGCAAAGAUGAUGAUAUUCUCAUGGAUCAUAAAUGUAAUAAGGUUUUGAAAAAUUCAUGGAUUGUAGAUUUUGCAUGCUCCUUUCAUAUUUAUUUAAAGAAAGAAUGUUUUGAUCCUUACAAAGAAUAUGAUGGAGCAAUGAAAACCCUUUGUGAUGUUAGUCACAUGCCAAGACUUCAAAGAAAGAAAGAAAGUUUCUGAAACCGAAAAUCUUACCAUUUUGCGAACUUCUGCUUCCUGCGAUUUGUUCCAUACACCUCUCGCAGCAUCAUCCCCAUGCUUGGUAUCGAUUCGCUUGCUCUGAUCAAGGACAAGCAAAGACAGUAUUAAUUUGUAAGUAUACAUUCGAAACUGAAAUCAGUUUUUGUAAUGUUAAAGGUUGUCCUUUUCAUUAUCAUUUUUUGCAAGUAUAUAUGAUGAUUGAUUUGGAGUAUGAUCCCCCGUGAUGUUCAAGAGCAAUUGCAAGCCCAUUAAUUGGCACCAUAAGGUCAGUUUUUCGAAAAGGCUCAGCAUAUAAGCAUACCAUUCCAUCUGACUUUGGUGCAUCAAAGCGUCCGCCUCGCAAUAAUUUCGCAAAAACACCAGAUGGUUUCAACUUUUCAUUAUUAACAAUCCUUUUAUCCACCCGCAUGUCACUCGCUAGUGCCUGCACUAUCUCAGAACGGCAAUACAUUGCAGCCAAGUGCAAAGGUGUAUUUCCAUCGUAAUCCUUCUCAUUUAUAAGUGCUUCCAGAUCUCGAUUUCCCAAUAUUUCAUCCACUAUUCUCAUCUGUCCACUCUUCGCUGCAACGUGAAGAAUAUUCUGUCCUUUUUCGUUGAGAAAAUCCAUUGGAUCGAACCAAUAAGUAAGUAGUUCGCGUACUACUUCAAGAUGCCCCUUCUGGCAUGCAUCAUGGAUGGGUAAGUUGCCUUCUUCGUUGCUUUGUGAAGCGGCAACAGGACAUCGACUAACCAGGAGUCUUGCUCCAGAAAGGAAGCCCAUGGAUGCUGCAAGAUGAAGGAGAUUUCCCCCUUUUAUGUCCUCGGGAAGCAUUAUAUCCGGCUUGCCGACCGCUAGUUUUUCUAGUGCAGCAUAAUUUAAAAAUGAGAUAAUCAAUACAAAAAACACAAAAUGCAUGGAAAUAACUUGAAUUUUAUGCUUUACAUAAAAUGAAAUCAUGAAGAAUCAGUUUUAAUGAGACCAAUAAUUAUAAGAGUAACAUGUUAUUUUUCACUUCGAAAUGAUGAAAACAUGUCAUUACCUAAAUUUCCUUCCGGCAUAGCUUCUAUAAAAGAAGCAAGCAUCUCCCCGUCGCAACUCUCUACUGCCAAGUACAAGGGAGACUUGUCUUCCUUGUUCUUGUGGUAGGAAACUUCUAGGUCUUCAUUAACGAGGAAACAGGCCACCUCUCGGCAACCCUUGAUGACUGCAUCAUGCAAUGGGGUGUUUCCUUUAUUAUUCUUCAUCCUCAGCAAGCUAGCAAGUUCAAGUGUUCUAUGAUGAAUUUUCACAUGCUCGACGAGAUUUUGAAUUUUGUCAAACCGUACAGCCCUGGCAGCCAGAUGAAGCGCAUUAUCACCCAGGAAAUUUUUCCUGGUGAUUAGGAGGGGGAAGUGAUGACACAGUAGCUGUAUCACACCUUCGCUUCCAUGGCUUGCUGCCACAUGAAGCAGUGAAUUUCCAGAGGCAGCAACAUGUUUGAAAAUGAUACUGAGCACUUCCAGUUCAUUGGACAAGAGAUGAAACAAGGCAUUGAAGUUGUCUUCCUUUGCAUAGAUAUAAAACUCCCUCUGCAGUAUUUUAUUUGGCUCAGAAAAACCAUACUCUGCAAUCGGAACUGGGAAUUUAACUGCCUUCCAUCGUUCAAGCUCCUCAUUUACUGGUCUCGGCAUAUCUAUUUGUAAUUGCAUAGAGGGUUGCAACGUGCUGGGAGAUUGUAUAAUGUCGGUUGAGUGCUCGAUCUCUUCUUGAGUGACUUGACUUUGCUGCGGUUGUAUCAGUGGUAAAUUGGUAAUUACAUGUCUUGUUAUUUGGCCAAGCAAACUAAAGAAUUCAUAGAAAACAUGAAUGCAAGAAAUAUGCUAAUUAAAGUAUUAGUGAGAGAAAACGUACAUUAGCUACAUAAUUUCUCGAAAUACAAUUAUUUAGGAGCAUAAUGUCAAAAUUAAACUGUUAACGCGUUGUCGAUUUUUUCAAGUAAAAGUUUUUUUUAUAUAUUUACAUCCAAAAAUAACUACGGGUUUGUGUAUUGUAUUUAUAAAUAAAAUAAUAUUUUACGACUUUUAAUAUAUUUUCUAAUAGUAUUAUAUAAAUUAAUAAACUAUAUGCACAAAUAUAUCAAAUUAAUAUAAUUGUUUUUAGCCGCAAACAACUGAUGCCAGUUUGUUAAGAAGAAUUUGAAUAGAAUCUUAAGAAAUAAUUCUCAUAAUAUAUGAAGGAGAAAAUAAUACAUAGAUAAAAGUCAAUUCUCUCCAUAAUAAAGAUCAUUCUCAAAAUGCACACUCCAAACACACUAAAGCAAAAUGAAAGGUUUAAUCAUCAUACAAUCCUGACAUAAAAAAAGAAGUCAGACCAAUCCCUCGUAUCCAUACACUCUAAAUUUUGUGCCAAUAACAAAAAAACUAAAUGCAAAAUCUAUAAAUAGUUUUUUUUUUAAAAAAAAAACAGUGAAUAUCUUCUCUUUUGAAGAAUGAGAGAUAGAGUGUACAGUGUAGGAAAAAUUAUAAUUAACCUAAAUACAGGGAUCAUACCUCCUUUCUCUUGUUUACGAAGACGUUUCGGGUAUUUUUCAUGCACUUUCGAUGAAUUGCAAAAAAAAAAAAAACCCAAACAAAUUUAAACUGAAAUAUUGACACCAAAAAAGAAAAAAAAAAACACCGAACCAUUACACUAAUCAUGAGAUUCCAUGUUAAAAUGAAAAGGAAAUAAUAUAUAAGAAAAUCAAUUCUGAAGGAGAACCAUGUAAAUGUGUACCUGUAUAUUAGUGUAAACUGAGAGAGAAGGAGCGUGAAGGGAGAUGACGAAGAAGACCAGUUUCCUGCAUGCAGAAGUACUUUCCCUGCCAAUAAUUAGACAAAAUUAAGAGACUUGUGCAUACUGAGAGGUUUUUUAAGCUCUAAGAAACAAACUCCUUAGGUAAUAAGGUUUCUAAAAGAAAAAAAAAAGGUUUCUUUGCUUUUCACUUUUCUAUUUAAAAGAGAGUGUGCUGAACGAGCAACACGUUGGCAUCCAUUUCAAGCUUUAAAAUUAGAAAAUGUGAUUUUAGAUAUAUAUUUUUUUAAAAAUAUAUUUUUUAUUUAGAAAUAUAUUAAAAUAAUUUUUUUAUUUUUUAAAAUCAAUUUUUAUAUUAACGCAUCAAAAUCAUCUUAAAACACAAAAAAAAUAUUAAUUUAAAAUAAAAAAAUUUUAAUAUUUUUUUUAAAAUAUUUUUAAAACAUAAAAACAAAUAUUAUUGACUGAACUCAAAUUCUUUUGGAUGCAUAUAGUACUUUUUUCUUUCAGAAUCUUUUCUUUUCUAUUUAAAAGAGAUUGUGAUGAACGAGCAACACAGUGACAUCUAAGAUGAAGUGACCAGGUUGUUUUAAUAAUCCUUUUAUAAUAUCAAGCUUUAAAUUUGACAAAUUUAUAAAUUAGGUUCCUCUUAUCAUUAAUCCGAAUUCCUAAUAAUUUUUAUUCAAAUUUGACCACAUCUUUUGUUCAUUGUAGCAUUAAGCUUUGUUGAACAUCAAUUACUAAUCAUACCUGAAUUUAAGCCAUUCAAAUAGCUACCAUCGCCGCCCUGCGGUCACCAAAUCAAACGUACAUCAUACCUCUAUUUUCUAUGCUUUUAUUCAGUUUUGUAAUUGCUUGCUUCCAGUUCUUGUGCUUAGAUACUCGGUUUGCUGAUUAAGUUACAUAUUCCCUGAUCUUUUGUUUGCGGAUUCGAUUUUUAUCCCACUUAUUUUUAUUUUUCCAAUGAAAACUUUCAAUCAACAAGUUUCUCAUCAGAUAUUUGUGUUUCAUCGGUCAUUUCAUCAUAAACUUUGUUUUUUUUUUUUUUUUUUAUGGAAUGACCAAUAAAAAUAUUCAUGCUAAAAAAUUAGAUUUUAUCACCCAUUUGUCAUCGGGAAGUCCGUCCAAGAAAAGGAGCAAAUAUUACCGCUGAAAUCAUGGAUAAAAAUACACUUUAAUUUCCAAUGGAAAUUCCUUCAUCAAUUCCAUUGGAAAUACCUAAACUUUAUGUAAAUUUCGAUGAAAUGUGAGUAAAUAUUGCCGACAAAAAUGCAAUUUUUUUGGUGAUUCUGUUUGUGUUCCAUACUUUUUUUAUGUUGUUUAGUUUUUAUAAUCCCAAAUGCAUUUUUUAUUAACACUAAACUCAUAACAACAACAAUAAAAUUAAAAAUAUUAUAACAAAAUUCCAUACAUAAAAAUUUUGUAAAUAACAUAUUAAAAUUUUUAAAAAGUUGGAGGAGGUGAAAAAAAUCAUGAUCUAUAAGCUCCAUGAGAGGGAGGAAAAUGUAAAGCCAAAUACGCACGUAUUUGCUCUCAUUUUCUAUUAUUUCUUGUUUGAUUUUUGCUUUUAUUUCUUCUAUUAGUUCUGUCAUUAUUUAUGCUCUUAUAUUAUGCAACUCAAUAGCCAAUUGUUAUGGAAUCCUAUCUCAAACCAUCUCCUUAAUGGUCAAUGAUGUCUGGUUGAAAUUGGAAUAUUUUGUGCCUACCAUUGAAACACUACGACUCACCCUUGUAUCUUGGUCAAUGCUAUAGACAUACCACAAACUAAAUUCUUAUCAAGUCUAUUAAUUGCUCUAUCCUUCAACCACAAAUAAGAAUCGUUAGGAGGAUGGUUGUAAUUGUGUUUUUCAUGUUUAACAGCCAUGUUGGCAUUAUAUAUAUUUGUCAAAACAAAACAAAAGGUCAAAAUCCAAUUAAACUUAAAAAAAAUAGUAAUACAAUUAUAACUAUCCAAAAAUACUUACAAUGAACUCUUUCACUGUUUCACUAUAUUAUUGAUAAACCUUUUUAUCUUUUUUGCUUAUCCUCUUUUUUUAUAUGAGUUUCCUAAUAUAACUUCAUUGGAGUAUGUUCGCACCAAAACUGUUUUUCCUAUACAAUAAAUAGUUUGUAAAAAAGUCUCAUAAAUAAAAAAUAAAUUAAUAAUUAAAUAAACAAUAAUUAAAUAUAUAGCAAUGCUCUUAUUAGGCUAUUUGCAUGGUUCACCAAGGAAAGUGCUCCUCAAGUGUGCAUGCUCAUCAAACCAUGAAUUUUCUUUUUUCCUAUUGUUUUGAGACCUAGAUUUUGAGCACUUUUUAAAACCAUAUGAUGCCAAAACUUCUUGAAACUUAGCCCAAUUACUCUUUGUGACGUGUCUCGAUCUAAAAUUUUUCCACAAUACUAUGUCAUCAAAGUUGGCUCUGUUCAUUGAAUAUCUAGAAACAUCAUGCCACAAAUCACGCAACCUAGUAUAGUAAUUUAAUAAACAAAAUUAAGAUAAGGAAAUGAAAUAUUAUAGUUUUACAAUAAUAUAAUUGUUUUUUGCAUUAUACUUACCUAAUUACAAUGUGGUUUUCCCACACAUUUCUUACAACCCCCUCAUUUUCCUUGUCCUGGUAAUUUUUUUUCCUUGUAGUCAAACAUUAGUUAUUUUUAAAAAAUUUUAAAAACUAUAUAUUAACUCAAUGUAUAUAUUAUUUAUUUAACCAUUAACUUUUCCCAAAAACAUCUACUAUAAUCAUACAUUUAGAAUGAUCUUAAAGUUGACUCUAUUAAAACAAUGGUUUUUCAAAAACAAAUUUAAGAUUAAUUGUAUUAAAGAGAAAAACUAUAAAAAAAAAAAACACAAAAAGUGUACCUAAGAUGUACAUCAUCUUGUAACCCAAAUCAAAUGACCUUAGACAAUAGGGAAAAAAACAAAAGCUAAAAAAAAUUAAAAAUUUCUGAAAAUAAGACUGCUUGAAUAAUAGCAUAGAAAAUCAAUUCAUCAAAAUCAUUUAAUGUAAAACUUAAAAUAAUCUAUUACAAAUAAAUAACUUCAAUGGUAAGAGAAAAAACAUGACUUACAUUGUGUCGUUGGCUUUUUAUGUUGCAAUAAGUUUUCUUGAUACAGGGUCUCUAGAAGAAGGGAUUCUACCUUUUUUGUUUGUGAAAUUCAUUGUUGUAAAUGAGAUCAUUGCAUAAUUAGUUGGCAUCAAAGGACAUAAUAAUCUCUCUCUUUGUAUGAUUAAUAGAAAUGAUACUGUGAAUCUGUAAAUUAUGCCAAAAACGCUUUAUUCUGUUUCUAAAGGACUCGAGGCUAUUGCUCUAAGAGUUGAAGUGCCUAUGUUCAAAUCAUUUUAAAAUUACCUGCAUUAUUGCAUUUUUGUUCCACUAGAAAUUGUUUCUGAUGUUUUUGACAUCUACAAAUACUGCAAGGUCCUAUCCUGGUACUACUACAUCUGCUUGGUGUGGCCUUGUUAAGUUAACUGGGAAUUUGCAUAAUGUUUCCAGGCUGAUGCUUUUGAAAGCCAGCGUGGACAAUGCAUUGAUAUCACCUGGAAAGUGAUAAUUUAUUUAAAUAAAACAGACUUUACCAAGGUGAUGGAAACAAUGCUAUACUGCCCUGACAAAUAAAUGUAUAAAUGACAUUCGAGAGUUAAACUGGUUUUGCUUACACCAUUGUGCAUAGAACUGCUUAUUUCCUUUUCUGAAGAAUGUUCUUUGUACGCUUAAUUGAACUAGUCUCUUUAAGUGUUCAAUGGUUCUCACCAACCAUUUGUCAAAGAAAUAAAGAAGUCUGUUAAUUUUAUUGGUUUGCCAUUCCAACAGGGGCUGGAUCCCCUUUAAAUUGUGCAUGCAACUUGUUAGCAAACCUCUUAUUUUGGUAGGCAGAGUUUAUCCGUGUUGUGACUUCAGAUAAUAACAAUGACUGAUUUGGUCAAUCUCUCAAAAAGUUUUCUGUAUUCCCGAGAGUAAUAAUCCUAAUCAUCAUUUUAGGUUAGUUGACAGAAUAUCUUUCUUGGUUAUUUCUUAGUUCAUAUGAACCAAACCUGCCUCAUUCCUCCCCUCAUGCGAGGUAGUUAAGUAGUGUAUGAGCCCUAGUACUGGUUUCAAGAUAUGACUUAUCACUGUGUAUAUGUCUGUAGUUAGUUUAGCUGAGAGUUCAAACAAGUGUUUAUGGUGUUAAACGUUUUUCAAUCAUAAAUUGUUUUGCAGAUAUAAUUGAUGAAUUGGUGAAGAAUGGGAAAGAGAUAAGGCUGUAUAUUUUGCUUCUGAAUCUGGUUUGACGAAAAGAUUUUCUCCUGUAUCUCUACUCAAGUCAUAUCUUAAGAAUUCCAAGAAGAUCACAACUACUGUCUUGAAGAAUGGCAAUUAUAGUGUAGCUGCAACGGUGUGUCUAAUCUCUAUCUACAUUGUGUAAUUCUAAUGACAUGAAAUAUUUGAGUCUUAUUAAUUUUUUUGCAGGAUGAGUCAAGUACCUUGGAGUUGAAUUCUAUUAAAGCAAUCAUCAAAUGUGUGGAAGAUCAUAAGCUUGAAUCAGAAUUUUCCCUUGACAGCUUGAGAAAACGGGCUUCUCUGCUUGAAAAAACCAAAGCAGAGAGGAAGAGGGGUACAUCAGCUGCCACUGCUACCAAGUCUCAAAACAAGCGAGGCCAUGGUUCAAGUGGUGGCCGGGACAGUGGACCUACUCCUUAUCGUCAAGCCAAAGCUGCCAAAUUUUCAAACAAUUAUUCCUCUUUCAGCCGCAGGAAUGCUCCUCUCCCUGCACAGCAUAGCCCGGCUAGAAGAUAUUCAGGGCCAUUCCACUACCCUAGCCAGAGUGUCUACGAGGGCCCCGCAGCAGCCCCGUAUGCAUCAACUUAUGGUAUCUCGCACGCUCAAAGCCCUUCUGCAAUCUCUCAACAACCCUACCAUCACUCUCAAAGCCCCAGUGCAAUUCCUCAACAACUCUACUCACAGCCAGCGGAGAACAUGAGUGCUGCCGGUUUCCGUGCCAGUGGUUCUUAUGGAAGCCAGACCGGUUACGGGGCAUAUGAUUACGGCUCUGCUGCACCCGUUACUUACCAACCUUCAUCCUACACUCAAUAAGAUGGGAGGAACCUAGCCAGGUGUUAAGAUUCUUAUUUUUAUUUGGUGUCUGAUUUCUGGAUGUGGCCCUCUAAUUUUGGGACCCGCCCCCUUCAUCUCCCUUUCCCGUAUAAAAGUUUUUUUUUGGUCUUAUCUCAUGACUGGAUAUGAUGCCCAUGCCUGUAACGCUGAUUACCUUUAUAUGGAGCUCAAGCUGGAUGUGAUUUCCGUGCUGUGAGUUUUAAAUGGUUUGGCUAUCGAGCAUUGUAUUCUUUCAACUUCUUUCCUUGAUUGGAGUCGCCAUUGGGUGCCUAUGCUUGUGUUUUUGCCAAAUUUUGGUUAAUCAAACCAAUUUCAUUUGCUGCUUGCACUUUUUUAAGAAGGAAGAAAUGAAUAACAAGGAACAUGUUAAUUAAUAGGACUAACUUGUUAAAAUCACAACAAUUUAGUAAUCAUGCUAAAAAUCCAAUUUAGUAAGAACAUGGCUAUAAUGGGUAACAAUUAUCUAGUCCUUGUAAUUGAUAGACAUCAUUCUUUUGGCCACUAGGUCUGAAAAUAACUCACAAACAUUCAGACCAAUGGAGAAACUUGUAUUAGAUGUUCUAUAAAAUGGUUAUUCAUCAUCUAAUUCUCUACAUAAACAAAUAACUACAUAUGGUAAUCAAUAACACCAUUUAGGCUUUCAUUGAUUAGCUCAAUCAAAACUAAAAUGAGCUCAAAUAAAGUUGACCAAGCACUUGUUUUUGUACUGUUUCUUAGGAGACAAGUCUUAUGAUAUCCUUUAAUAAUAAGCACUCUAAUAAGAAUAUUUGGAAGUAGUCAUAUUCUAAGUAUUACAUGUCCACAUAAUAAUAAUUUCAACAUAAUUUGGGUACACACUUCCAAGUGAUCAGUUAAUGUUUAAUUUUACGAUAAAAUAUUUCAUUUUAUUAGUUUAGAGCAAUUAAGGCUUUUGGAAAUAAAAUUAAAUCCUUAAAAACUUGUGAACACCUUUAAUUUUGUCCCAUUGAGGACUAGUUUCUAAUUUUAGUUGUAGUUAUUUUUUAUUUUAAUUUGGUUUUUCCAUAUAUUUUUUGAAAAUUGUCUUGAUAGUUUUUAUUCUUAGAUAUAAUGGUCCAUAAUAUGAAGACAAAGGUCUAGUGCUUGAUUGAUGUUCAAUUUUAUCAAAAUAUGUUUAAAUUGAGUUGACUUAAAGCAAUUAGGGUUUAAAGGACCAAAUUUGAUUAUGAAAUAAAUAUGAGAGACUAAAAUUAAUGAGUAUAGUUAAAAAGGUACAACAGCUUUGGCAGCAUAUGCAACCUUUUCUAGCGGCCAACCCACCCUUCCACGGUGGCGAUCGAUGUAUCUUAGAAUUCUUUUUUGCAAGGGUAAUUAACACAUGUAUUCUUAUUCUUGGUGGUGUGUCGUUAGCGUUAUUUUUUUAUUUUAUUUUAUUUAUAUUUUUCCUCUCUUUUCUUUAAAAUUCAUGCUAGCCAUUUCAAAUUUCGUAGUUGUCUCCUUGUUUUAGUAUUAUUUCAAAUUCGAAUCUUUUUUUAUUACUAAGUUUUUGUUCUAGAUCUUUUUUUAAAAUGUAAAAUUGUUUUCAAUUUUCUCAUUCAAUAAAAAAUUACAAGUUGUCCUUUUUUUUAUUUUUAAAAUUUGGUCCAUAUUUUUUUAAUUCCUAUUUUUAGUUUUUGAUCCUAUAGUGAAAUUAAAUUUUCCUUUCAUUUUCAUCAUCUAAUUUGUUUUUAUUUCUAAUUCUAUUCUUAUUCUUUUGGUUGGCCUUGAUCUCUUUUUCUGUCCUUCUAGGGUGCUGUAAUCACCAUCAACAAAGUGGCCUUUUAAGGAAGAAGUGGCUCAAAUUGUUUAUAUAGUUGGGUUACAUUUUAAUAUAGUCAUGUAUUUGAAAAAGUAUUUAGUUAAUUAAUAUAUAUAUAUAUUACUAAAAAUUCUUUUAAAAUUUUAAUUAAAAUAUAAUAUAAUUUAUAACUUUUUUUAAAUGUAUUUUUUUAAAUCACAUAUCUAUCACAAAGAAAGAUCUUUUCAUAAAUCCCAACUUUCGCAAGAAUAUUAAUCAUGAGUCCUUACAUGUCCUCUUCCUUGUUGAAUUCUACGGCCUUCGAAUGUCAUGUCUAUGCCGAUUUACUCGGGUAUUUCUUUAUGCAUGCAUGCAAAAUAAUAUAAUAAUUAAUUAUUAGUUUAUAGAGGCUGAUAAAUAAAUAAAAUAUAUAGUUUAUUGAGUUUCCAAAACAAAACAAUCGCAUCUUGUGGUCAUCAACCAAAUCUAAUACUGUUUGGAAAAACACUGUUCAUGUAGAUUAAUAAGUACUAUUUAUUAAAACAAAGUAUUAAUGAUAGUUUUGCUUUUCUCGUAAAAGAAUUUGAACCAGUUAUUUAAGAUACUUUCACAAGUUUCAUUUAUUAUUAUCAAGUCAAAUUAAUAAGUGUUUUUGUAUUUUGAAAUCAUAGUAAAAUAAUUAAAAUAUGUUUACAUGUAAAAAAUUAUAAACUAAUGUCCAAGUGCUUUUUAGUAUUUUUACACUAGUUUUUUCAUUAUUAUUAGGUUAGUUGAAGGAAAAACUAGUAUUUUAAUAAAUAAAAAAUAUUAUUUAAAAACAAAAAACGACUAGCCUAUGUAAUGCUUGUGCAAGCAUAUAAGCGGCGCUAGCUACACUCAAGUGGCAUCUCUCAACGAUCAAACAUUAGUUUUUGCCAUGUCAUUGGAAGCACUGCAACAUACUCUUCCUUUAAGAACGACACAUGGUGUUAUUGGGGUGGCGGUGUGAUGUUGGUGACUUUUUUUUCUUCUCAUUCCACUUUACUCUUUCCUCCUCUUGAAAAUCGUGUUGGCCAUGCGAAAUUUCAAAGUUGUCAUCUAAUUUAUUGAGAUGUCAAAUUUAUUAUUUAUUAUUUUGAUUUAUUAUUUUUGUUUUUGGUCAUUUUGUGAAAUUUUGAGUUAUUUUUAAUUUUAUCUUUCAAUCUCAAUUUGUGAUAUAUUAUGUUUUUUUUCAAUUUAGUCUUCAUUCUUUUUGAUAGUUUUAUUUUGAGUCCUUUUGUUAAAUUGAAUUUUCUUUUCAAUUUCACCCUUCAAUUAAAAAAAAAUUUAUUUUUUUUAUUUUAAUUUUGAUCCUCAUUCCUUCAAUUACUAUUUUUUUUUUUCUAAAUAAUUGAUUUUUCUUUUUUUCAUUUUUAAAUUUUAUCAAAAACGCACGUGAUUAGUUGUUGUCAAACUAUCUAGUGCUAAGAAUUCGAAAGUCAAGUACCCUGCAAUAUGAAAGAACUCUGAAAACACACACCAGAGACAUGCAUGUUCUGCUUUAUAUUUAACCAAAGUCGUUACAAGAGAGAGGAGAAAGAGCUUAUCUAUUUGUUACAAGAGAUACAAAUUACAUGAGAUUUAAAUACCCUCCAGUUUGAACUGGAUGUGAUCCUAUUCUCCACCCAUAAAAAUUAUAAGGAAUUUAAUGGGAUUUGCAAGCAGGACAGACAUUACUGAAAAUCUAGAGUAACAAAGUACUUGCCAAUAAUAAAAGAGGAUUGGAAUGUGAUGAUGGUUAUGAAAAUCCAGUACGUUCUUGCACCGUGAUUGCCAGGAUGAAUGUAUAUGCUAAACCCAUGAAGGAAAGGCCACAUAUGAUACAAUAUGUCGCCAUGUCCAUGCUUAUUCUUACAUUACCGGUACGACCUAAUGAUAUCCGACAAAGGAUUAUAGCGGCGAUGAGGGAGAAAUUCAUAGCUAGCAUGUCAAAAAAAAUAUAAGCUCUCAUCAGAUAUUUUGAAGUACCACUGCUAAGAUCAGAACCUGAUCCAGGCACAGUGAUAGCACCAGCGAAGGUUACUCCAGCUACCAGUACUGCCACCACGAGAAGAUUCCCUACCCCUCUGUUCCGUUCCUCCGUCGUUAACGUCGUUCUUGGUGAAUCAAAGAUAAGAUUGAUGCCAAACUCAUUCUUAUCAUUUCCUCCACCAAAACUUUUAAUACCUCACGCUGAACAACAAAAUGUUAAUUAGAAAAUAUAUGGUAAACAAAUUAAUUAUAUAAAGCAUCAUGACAAUGUUAUCUUAAUAUCCCAUAAUAACGAAGAAGUAACUCAUCGCAAUAUAUUUAGUAGAUCAGCGAGGCAUUCCAUAUUUUUGAGCAAGUAAAGAACUUUAUUUCCACUUUGGAUUAAUCAAAUUUUAGGUAAUUAAAAGAAAUCUAUCAUUCCCUUUUCUAUAAAGUUGCAACAUGGACAGAAUGUGGAUGUGAAAGUUUUUGCUAGACUAGAAUGUAUUUACUUCAAUCACCUGAUUAGCUUCUUACGUGGACGAAACCCUCUGGUAUUGAUGAAUAUAAAAGAAUUAAAUGUGACUGAGGUUUUGAAAAUUAAAAAAUCUUUUUAAAUGAGUAUUGAUUGUUCCUAUAUAUGCAAUUACUAGAAGCUGGAUUGUGGAGUAUAAUGCCAUUACUAGAAGCUUAUUGGCAUAUGGAAAAAACUAGAGAGUAUUUAUGCUUCUAGACCCAUGACUAAUCGUUUUCUUUUGAAGUUAGAUUUGUACUCUUGAGGAUGGAUGAAGGAAUGGGUAUACACAAGAGUUAAAAGGUUGACAACACAAGUAGUCAAUAUUAGAAAAAACAAAAUUGGGGAAAAAGAGCGAAACCUCAUUCUACAAGCCAUUGGUGCAAACAAUACUAGUUAAAAGGAUAACUUUAGGUUUAAUCUUACUAGAUAGAAUAAAAGGUUUUGAAAGGUAACGAGGCAUUGGUGAUGGAAGGUAAUCUAGGAAAUAAAAUUAUGAUUGUCAUGGGAGGAACAUGGCAUAAAGAGGUAGAUUUGGUAUAAAAAACUCUAUUUGAGAUUCUAGAUCUAGAGUGGAAUACAAUAUUAAUAUUUUUAUUGUCAUUGCAAAAUACUAGUUAAAAGGAUAACUUUAGGUUUAAAUGAUACAACUAUAAUUUUAUUGGAGAAUGAUAGGUUUUGAAAAUAGAAAACAAUGUCAAAAGGUAACGAGGCAUUGGUUAUGGGAGGUGGUCCUGUAAUUUACCAUGAAAGAUGGGAGCAAAGUGUUGAAUAUUAAACUCAAUCCAGAAGCUCCCAGAAGGUCAAGGAAGACAACCAGCCACCAGCCACCAGUCGCCGACCAGCCGCCAGCCGCCUUCACACUUGAAGGUUGAAUUUUCUAGUUUUUGAUUUCGUGUAUAAAUAGAGUGCCUAGCUUCUGUUAAUGUGUGUGGAGAGAAUUGAGAGCAAACACUAGAAAGAGAAAUAGAGAGAGAGAGGGCAUGUACUGUUAAGCUUUUGUUAAUUAAUUGUAAGCUUGUGUUUUUGUAACAAAACUUUGUGUUUUAUCCCCUCUGAGUGUUUCAAAGUCACCACCAGUGGUUUCUCCCAUGCACCAACAAUUAGUAUCAGAGCCCCGUUCGUCAGAAAACAGAAGUGUUUUGGGGUACAUCCGAAUUUUCAAAGUUGUCAAAAACAAGUUUUGAUCAUUCCACAGUGAAGAGCUCAUCAAUACGAACUCACUGUCGCAAGAAUCAGCCUUAUCGGAGUCCGCGGUGAUCCACACGCGCCGCCUGAAGAUCCGGUGACUGUAUCCCAUGCGCAUCCACGCGCGCCAUAUUUGAGCCGCGCCGAGCCCGAGCCGCGCCGCAAGCCGAGCCGUCCUCCGCACCGAGAGAAUAUUCCCCAAAAUAUUCCCCGAAUAUUCCUGGUUCAACCUAGCGAACCGCCCGCCGUACAGAAUUGGUUUUUUGACCGGUUCACCCAUUUUCUGACCCGAAUUCAACAAAGUCAGACCGGUUCCCUGCUAUUUGGAUCAUUCCAGAUCGAUCUACAAUGUCCGUUUGGCCAAAUUCGGCUCCUAGAAAGGUGAUAUAAUCAUUCAAAGAGCAAAAUGACUACAGAAGAUACACAUACACUCAUUCCAAAGCUGACCAAAGACAACUAUGAUAGUUGGUGCAUCAGAUUGAAGGCAUUCCUUGGGUCACAAGAGUGUUUGGAUAUUGUACAAACUGGUUAUGAUGAAUCAGAGUCCAAAGAAAGAGAAGAUGUUUUAUAAGAGGCACAAAAGCAAGCUCUUAAAGUCAACAGAAAGAAAGACAACAAAGCAAAGACCAUCAUCUAUCAGGGUCUUGAUGAAGACACAUUCGAGAUCAUAGCUUCCGCUGAAACAUCACAUGAUAUAUGGAGGCUCUCCAACAGAAAUACAAAGGUGCUGACAGAAUUAAAAAAAUUCGUCUUCAAUCUUUGCGAGGUGAAUUUGAGUUAUUGCAAAUGAAGUCCUCGGAGUCUAUUUCUGAUUAUCGCACAAGGAUUAUGGUGAUAGUCAACCAGAUGAGGAGAAAUGGAGAAGCCAUCGUCGAUUCUCGAAUUACUGAGAAAAUUUUGAGAUCGCUAGAUCCAAAAUUCGAUUUUGUUGUUGUCGCAAUUGAAGAAUCUAAAGAAGUGGACAAGUUGACAGUUGAUGAACUUAUGAGUUCUUUGCAAGCUCAUGAGCAGAAAAUUGUAAAGGGAAAUGGAGAUAAGGCAAUUGAGCAUGCCUUACAAGCAAAGCUGUCUCUCAAGGACAAAUAUGAGCAAGGGGAGACUUCAACAAAUGGAUAUACCACUCAAGCAGGAAGUCAACAAUCCAGAGGAGGAUUCCAGAGAUUCCAAGGAAGAGGUUCUUGGAAUACAAGCUUUAGAGGAAGAGGUGGCAGAAACAUCAUUAGAGGAGAUCGAGGACAACAAGCAUUCAAUCCUAGAGGAAGAGGGGGCGAUUACAAUAACCAUGACAAGAGGAAUAUCCAAUGUUAUAGUUGCAAUCAAUUUGGGCACUAUAGCACUGAAUGCAGAAGGAAAGCUCUAUUGGAGAUACGUGAGCAAGCCAACUAUGCAGAGAAGGAUGACAGAGAAGAAGCUGCAUUUCUUGUCCAACAAGAACAAAAUUAAGAUAAGGAAAUGAAAUAUUAUAGUUUUACAAUAAUAUAAUUGUUUUUUGCAUUAUACUUACCUAAUUACAAUGUGGUUUUCCCACACAUUUCUUACAACCCCCUCAUUUUCCUUGUCCUGGUAAUUUUUUUUCCUUGUAGUCAAACAUUAGUUAUUUUUAAAAAAAUUUUAAAAACUAUAUAUUAACUCAAUGUAUAUAUUAUUUAUUUAACCAUUAACUUUUCCCAAAAACAUCUACUAUAAUCAUACAUUUAGAAUGAUCUUAAAGUUGACUCUAUUAAAACAAUGGUUUUUCAAAAACAAAUUUAAGAUUAAUUGUAUUAAAGAGAAAAACUAUAAAAAAAAAACACAAAAAGUGUACCUAAGAUGUACAUCAUCUUGUAACCCAAAUCAAAUUGACCUUAGACAAUAGGGAAAAAAACAAAAGCUAAAAAAAAUUAAAAAUUUCUGAAAACAAGACUGCUUGAAUAAUAGCAUAGAAAAUCAAUUCAUCAAAAUCAUUUAAUGUAAAACUUAAAAUAAUCUAUUACAAAUAAAUAACUUCAAUGGUAAGAGAAAAAACAUGACUUACAUUGUGUCGUUGGCUUUUUAUGUUGCAAUAAGUUUUCUUGAUACAGGGUCUCUAGAAGAAGGGAUUCUACCUUUUUUGUUUGUGAAAUUCAUUGUUGUAAAUGAGAUCAUUGCAUAAUUAGUUGGCAUCAAAGGACAUAAUAAUCUCUCUCUUUGUAUGAUUAAUAGAAAUGAUACUGUGAAUCUGUAAAUUAUGCCAAAAACGCUUUAUUCUGUUUCUAAAGGACUCGAGGCUAUUGCUCUAAGAGUUGAAGUGCCUAUGUUCAAAAUCAUUUUAAAAUUACCUGCAUUAUUGCAUUUUUGUUCCACUAGAAAUUGUUUCUGAUGUUUUUGACAUCUACAAAUACUGCAAGGUCCUAUCCUGGUACUACUACAUCUGCUUGGUGUGGCCUUGUUAAGUUAACUGGGUAUUUGCAUAAUGUUUCCAGGCUGAUGCUUUUGAAAGCCAGCGUGGACAAUGCAUUGAUAUCACCUGGAAAGUGAUAAUUUAUUUAAAUAAAACAGACUUUACCAAGGUGAUGGAAACAAUGCUAUACUGCCCUGACAAAUAAAUGUAUAAAUGACAUGCGAGAGUUAAACUGGUUUUGCUUACACCAUUGUGCAUAGAACUGCUUAUUUCCUUUUCUGAAGAAUGUUCUUUGUACGCUUAAUUGAACUAGUCUCUUUAAGUGUUCAAUGGUUCUCACCAACCAUUUGUCAAAGAAAUAAAGAAGUCUGUUAAUUUUAUUGGUUUGCCAUUCCAACAGGGGCUGGAUCCCCUUUAAAUUGUGCAUGCAACUUGUUAGCAAACCUCUUAUUUUGGUAGGCAGAGUUUAUCCGUGUUGUGACUUCAGAUAAUAACAAUGACUGAUUUGGUCAAUCUCUCAAAAAGUUUUCUGUAUUCCCGAGAGUAAUAAUCCUAAUCAUCAUUUUAGGUUAGUUGACAGAAUAUCUUUCUUGGUUAUUUCUUAGUUCAUAUGAACCAAACCUGCCUCAUUCCUCCCCUCAUGCGAGGUAGUUAAGUAGUGUAUGAGCCCUAGUACUGGUUUCAAGAUAUGACUUAUCACUGUGUAUAUGUCUGUAGUUAGUUUAGCUGAGAGUUCAAACAAGUGUUUAUGGUGUUAAACGUUUUUCAAUCAUAAAUUGUUUUGCAGAUAUAAUUGAUGAAUUGGUGAAGAAUGGGAAAGAGAUAAGGCUGUAUAUUUUGCUUCUGAAUCUGGUUUGACGAAAAGAUUUUCUCCUGUAUCUCUACUCAAGUCAUAUCUUAAGAAUUCCAAGAAGAUCACAACUACUGUCUUGAAGAAUGGCAAUUAUAGUGUAGCUGCAACGGUGUGUCUAAUCUCUAUCUACAUUGUGUAAUUCUAAUGACAUGAAAUAUUUGAGUCUUAUUAAUUUUUUUGCAGGAUGAGUCAAGUACCUUGGAGUUGAAUUCUAUUAAAGCAAUCAUCAAAUGUGUGGAAGAUCAUAAGCUUGAAUCAGAAUUUUCCCUUGACAGCUUGAGAAAACGGGCUUCUCUGCUUGAAAAAACCAAAGCAGAGAGGAAGAGGGGUACAUCAUCAGCUGCCACUGCUACCAAGUCUCAAAACAAGCGAGGCCAUGGUUCAAGUGGUGGCCGGGACAGUGGACCUACUCCUUAUCGUCAAGCCAAAGCUGCCAAAUUUUCAAACAAUUAUUCCUCUUUCAGCCGCAGGAAUGCUCCUCUCCCUGCACAGCAUAGCCCGGCUAGAAGAUAUUCAGGGCCAUUCCACUACCCUAGCCAGAGUGUCUACGAGGGCCCCGCAGCAGCCCCGUAUGCAUCAACUUAUGGUAUCUCGCACGCUCAAAGCCCUUCUGCAAUCUCUCAACAACCCUACCAUCACUCUCAAAGCCCCAGUGCAAUUCCUCAACAACUCUACUCACAGCCAGCGGAGAACAUGAGUGCUGCCGGUUUCCGUGCCAGUGGUUCUUAUGGAAGCCAGACCGGGUUACGGGGCAUAUGAUUACGGCUCUGCUGCACCCGUUACUUACCAACCUUCAUCCUACACUCAAUAAGAUGGGAGGAACCUAGCCAGGUGUUAAGAUUCUUAUUUUUAUUUGGUGUCUGAUUUCUGGAUGUGGCCCUCUAAUUUUGGGACCCGCCCCCUUCAUCUCCCUUUCCCGUAUAAAAGUUUUUUUUUGGUCUUAUCUCAUGACUGGAUAUGAUGCCCAUGCCUGUAACGCUGAUUACCUUUAUAUGGAGCUCAAGCUGGAUGUGAUUUCCGUGCUGUGAGUUUUAAAUGGUUUGGCUAUCGAGCAUUGUGAUUACUCUCAUGAUUGGAGUCGCCAUUGGGCGCCUAUGCUUGUUUUUUUGCUAAAUUUUGGCAUGCCUAAUAGACUAAUUUGUUAAAUCACAACAAUUUAGUAAUCAUGCUAAAAAUCCAAUUUAGUAAGAACAUGGCUAUGAUGGGUAACAAUUAGCUAGCCCUUGUAAUUGAUAGACGUCAUUCUUUUGGCCACGAGAGGUCUGAAAAUAACUCACAAACAUUCAGACCAAUGGAGAAGCUUGUAUUACAUGUUCUAUAAAAUGGUUAUUCAUCAUCUAAUUCUUUAUAUAAACAAAUAACUACACAUGAAUAGAACAAUAAUGUUCCCUUAUAGUUUAUAAUAUUGCCACCUUUGUGAGUAUCAUUACCUUUGUGAAUAUCAUUUUGCCUCUACCAUCACAACCUCACAGUUAAUUUUUUUUUUCAUCAUUCAAUUUUUUUUUAAAAUUAGUCUUAUAAUUUGUUUUUUCAAUUCAGCUAUCCCCGAUUUCAUUACCAGAACUACAUGUUUGAUGAAUUUUUUUUGGGUCGCUGUUUUUUUAUUUAAAAUUUUAUUAGUUUCAUCCUUGAACAUUUGGUUCCUUUAGAAUUGAUUAUUGUAAUCAUUCUAAAGACAUGCAUAAAUUGUUUUAAGGCCUUAAAGUGCAUCUUCAUUCAUCUCAGAAACUGAAAAAAUAAAAAAAAAUCAAAUAAAAGAAACCUAAUUAUUUUUCCUGGCCUUGAUCUCUUUUUCUUUGUCCUUCUAGGGUGGUGUAAUCACCAUCAACAAAAUGGCCUUUUAAGGAAGAAGGGGACACUGGACACCAUUAUAGCAGGUUGCAAUGUCAGGAUCUAGAGGAAAGUUUCUCUCCUCGCCUAUCUCUCCUCGGUCCUGUCUCCGAUCUUUACAUACAGGGACUGAAUUUUAAAAAUAGUGUGUUUGUUUUUUAAAUAGGUUUUGUGGUUUUGAUUUUAAAAAAAUAAAUUUAAAAAAAGUGUGGUUAACUAUGAUUAGUUAAAUUUAAAUACGUGUUUAGUAAAAAUUAUAGUUGAAGUUUAUGUGUAACAAAAAUAAUGUAUAAAAUAUUUGGUGGAAGUAUAGUUGCCGUUGUUUUUUAAAGUGUUUUUUACUUGGAAAUGUAUCAAAAUAAUUUUUUUAAAAAAAUUAUUUUUGAUAUCAGCAUUGAUUUGAAAACAAAAAAAAUAUAUCAAUUUGAAGCAAAGAAAAAAAUAAAAAAAUUUAUUUUUUUCAAAAGCGCUUUUGAAACAUAAAAAUAAAUAGGGUUUUAUGAAACUCAAUUAAAAAAUCAUGUAAAAACUACUACAUAAAAAUUACGUUUCAAACUCAACUUUUUAGUAAGUCCCGCAUUACAAACCAAAGUUUAGUUUGUUAAUUACCAAACACUUUGCCAUGUUUGUUUCACCACAAACAAAAAACCAGUGAAGAAAUCCUAAAUAUCUAAAUAAUUUAUACAUGUUUUUUACUACACAUAACCUUUAACUAUAAUUUUUAUUAAACACAUAUUUAAAUUCAAUUAAUUACAAUUGACUCUAUUUAAAAAAAAAAACUUAUUUUUUUAAAUUAAAAUCUCAAAAACUAUCUAAAAAAUAAAGAAACGAGUGAGGAUGUUGAUGAUGCCAAGCAAGUCAGUGUAAAGUGGAAAUCUUGACAAGAUGUUGUAGCCUUCAUAAAAAGUACAAUGCAGUACAAAACGAGAGGUGAAUGUUUGAGAUUGUUAUAAUUUUUAAUUUUAUAUGAUUUUUAAAAGUAUAUUUUAUUUUAAAAAUAUAUUAAAUUAAUAUUUUUUUAAUAAUUUUUUCUAAAACAUAUUUUUCUAAAACAUAUUUUUAAAAAUAAUUUCCAUCACAACACUAAAAACAUAUAAAUAUUUAUCAUAGUAACAAGAAGUGAUAAUAUUUGAUGUAAAAACGGCUGAAUGUAUAUGUCAUGUUUCGAGAAGCGUCCAUGAUUAUAUCAUUAUGAUCCCAAAAAGAAAAAUAUUAAAUAUUAGGCUACAAUUAUUUAUAUACAGUUUUAAAACCUGGACCGGCCCGGCAGGUCAACUCGGGCCGAGACCGGUCCAGGUAGAGGCAAAAAUCUACUUGGAAAUUGACUCGGUAAAACCCGGUCGAUCUGCCGGGUUGACCCCGUGACCUGGACCACCCGGUCAAACCCGGCUGACACAUGAUCUCUCUUUCUCUCUUUCUCUAUAUAUAUAUAUAGACGUUAAACGACGUCGUUUUGGCCUUAAAAGGCCAAAACGAUGAACAAUGACGAAGCAGAAUUGGGGACACAUUGAUUACAGAGCAAACCCAAUUAACGAAAGAUUCCAUCACAGCCAAUGCAACUACAGUCUGGUCUAUAAGCUUUUGGCUUUCUUCUUUGCUCUUGCCAAUUAGGAUUUUUGCGUUUCGAGUGAUCGAUUUGCCCAUCAAAGUUGAAGUGAAGGGAGUGAGUUGGUUACAGAGAGAACUCCAUUCUAGGAUUUUAAGGGUUUUGAGUUGGAGUGAGCGAGCUGGAGGAGUGAGUUUCGGUGAGUGUGAAUCAAAGGGUUUUGUUAGGGCUUUGGUGGAGAAGGGUGGUUUGGUGGUGAAGAAGAGAAUCGGGGAUUUUUUAAUGGCUAUUAAAUGAUUGGAGAGUUUGAUUAAUGAAGGAUUUUUGAGGGAGAGAAGGAAAGGGAUGGGCUGUUUGACAACAACUUAUCCUUUUUAUUUUCAGCUUAUCUUUUAUUUUAGGUUGACUUGUUUUUAGGUUGACUCGUGUCAAUCAAUCUAACUCGUGAUUCGAUCACUUGACUAGAUUGAUAUCCGGAUCGAUUUUUAAAAUUAUGAUUUCUAUAAUUAGGUUACAUUUCGUUAUAGUCAUGUAUUUGAAAAAAUAUUUAGUUAAUAAAUAUAUAUAUAUAUAUAUAUAUAUAUAUAUGUUUUACUAAAAAUUAUUUUAAAAUUUUAAUUAAAAUAUAAUAUAUUUUAUAACUUUUUUUAAAAUGUAUUUUUUAAAAUCACAUAUCUAUCACAAAGAAAGAUCUUUUCAUACAUCCCAACUUUAGGCUAGAAGAUAUUCAGGGCCAUUCCACUACCCUAGCCAGAGUGUCUACGAGGGCCCCGCAGCAGCCCCGUAUGCAUCAACUUAUGGUAUCUCGCACGCUCAAAGCCCUUCUGCAAUCUCUCAACAACCCUACCAUCACUCUCAAAGCCCCAGUGCAAUUCCUCAACAACUCACUCACAGCCAGCGGAGACAUGAGUGCUGCCGGUUUCCGUGCCAGUGGUUCUUAUGGAAGCCAGACCGGUUACGGGGCAUAUGAUUACGGCUCUGCUGCACCCGUUACUUACCAACCUUCAUCCUACACUCAAUAAGAUGGGAGGAACCUAGCCAGGUGUUAAGAUUCUUAUUUUAUUUGGUGUCUGAUUUCUGGAUGUGGCCCUCUAAUUUUGGGACCCGCCCCCUUCAUCUCCCUUUCCCGUAUAAAAGUUUUUUUUUGGUCUUAUCUCAUGACUGGAUAUGAUGCCCAUGCCUGUAACGCUGAUUACCUUUAUAUGGAGCUCAAGCUGGAUGUGAUUUCCGUGCUGUGAGUUUUAAAUGGUUUGGCUAUCGAGCAUUGUGAUUACUCUCAUGAUUGGAGUCGCCAUUGGGCGCCUAUGCUUGUUUUUUUGCUAAAUUUUGGCAUGCCUAAUAGACUAAUUUGUUAAAUCACAACAAUUUAGUAAUCAUGCUAAAAAUCCAAUUUAGUAAGAACAUGGCUAUGAUGGGUAACAAUUAGCUAGCCCUUGUAAUUGAUAGACGUCAUUCUUUUGGCCACGAGAGGUCUGAAAAUAACUCACAAACAUUCAGACCAAUGGAGAAGCUUGUAUUACAUGUUCUAUAAAAUGGUUAUUCAUCAUCUAAUUCUUUAUAUAAACAAAUAACUACACAUGAAUAGAACAAUAAUGUUCCCUUAUAGUUUAUAAUAUUGCCACCUUUGUGAGUAUCAUUACCUUUGUGAAUAUCAUUUUGCCUCUACCAUCACAACCUCACAGUUAAUUUUUUUUUUCAUCAUUCAAUUUUUUUUUAAAAUUAGUCUUUAUAAUUUUGUUUUUCAAUUCAGCUAUCCCGAUUUCAUUACCAGAACUACAUGUUUGAUGAAUUUUUUUUUGGGUCGCUGUUUUUUUUAUUUAAAAUUUUAUUAGUUUCAUCCUUGAACAUUUGGUUCCUUUAGAAUUGAUUAUUGUAAUCAUUCUAAAGACAUGCAUAAAUUGUUUUAAGGCCUUAAAGUGCAUCUUCAUUCAUCUCAGAAACUGAAAAAAUAAAAAAAAAUCAAAUAAAAGAAACCUAAUUAUUUUUCCUGGCCUUGAUCUCUUUUUCUUUGUCCUUCUAGGGUGGUGUAAUCACCAUCAACAAAAUGGCCUUUUAAGGAAGAAGGGGACACUGGACACCAUUAUAGCAGGUUGCAAUGUCAGGAUCUAGAGGAAAGUUUCUCUCCUCGCCUAUCUCUCCUCGGUCCUGUCUCCGAUCUUUACAUACAGGGACUGAAUUUUAAAAAUAGUGUGUUUGUUUUUUAAAUAGGUUUUGUGGUUUUGAUUUAAAAAAAUAAGUUUAGAAAAAGGUGUGGUUAACUAUGAUUAGUUAAAUUUAAAUACAUGUUUAGUAAAAAUUAUAGUUGAAGUUUAUGUGUAACAAAAAUAAUAUAUAAAAUAUUUGGUGGAAGUGUUGGUUGUUUGUUUUUUACUUGGAAAUACAUCAAAAUAAUUUUUUUUUAAUUAUUUUUUAUAUCAGCAUUGAUUUGAAAACAAAAAAUAUAUCAAUUUGAAGCAAGGAAAAAAAUAAAAAAAUUUAUUUUUUUCAAAAGCGUUUUGAAACGUAAAAAUAAAUAGGGUUUUAUGAACUCAAUUAAAAAAUCAUGUAAAAAUACUACAUAAAAAUUGCGUUUCAAACUCAAUUUUUUAUAAGUCCCGCAUUACAAACCAAGUUUGGUUUGUUAAUUACCAAACACUUUGCCAUGUUUGUUUCACCGCAAACAAAAAACCAGUGAAAAAAUCUAAAUAUCUAAAUAAUUUAUACAUGUUUUUUACUACACAUAAAAUUUAACUAUAAUUUUUAUUAAAUACAUAUUUAAAUUCAAUUAAUUACAAUUGACUCUAUUUAAAAAAAACUUAUUUUUUUAAAUUAAAAUCUCAAAAACUAUCUAAAAAAUAAAGAAACGAGUGAGGAUGUUGAUGAUGCCAAGCAAGUCAGUGUAAAGUGGAAAUCUUGACAAGAUGUUGUAGUCUUCAUAAAAAGUACAAUGCAGUACAAAACGAGAGGUGAAUGUUUGAGAUUGUUAUAAUUUUUAAUUUUAUAUGAUUUUUAAAAGUAUAUUUUAUUUUAAAAAUAUAUUAAAUUAAUAUUUUUUUAAUAAUUUUUUAUAAAACAUAUUUUUAAAAAUAAUUUCCAUCACAACACUAAAAACAUAUAAAUAUUUAUCAUAGUAACAAGAAGUGAUAAUAUUUGAUGUAAAAACGGCUGAAUGUAUAUGUCAUGUUUCGAGAAGCGUCCAUGAUUAUAUCAUUAUGAUCCCAAAAAGAAAAAUAUUAAAUAUUAGGCUACAAUAUUUAUCAUAAUUUUAAAACUCGGACCGGCCCGCAGGUCGACUCGGGUCUGGAACCGGUCCAAGUGGAGGCAAAAAUCCACUUGGAAAUUGACUCGGUGAAACCUGGUCGAUCUGCGGGUCGACCCGUGACCCGGAUCACCCGGUCAAACCCGGCUGACACUUGACUCUCUCUCUUAUAUAUAUAUAUAUAUAUAGACGUUAAAAGACCGUUUUGGCCUUUUAAAAGGCCAAAACGAUUAACAAUGACGAAGCAGAAUUGGGACACAUUGAUUACAGAGCAAACCCAAAUAACGAAAGAUUCCAUCACAGCCAAUGCAACUACAGUCUGGUCUAUAAGCUUUUGGCUUUCUUCUUUGCUCUUGCCAAUUAGGAUUUUUGCGUUUCGAGUGAUCGAUUUGCCCAUCAAAGUUGAAGUGAAGGGAGUGAGUUGGUUACAGAGAGAACUCCAUUCUAGGAUUUUAAGGGUUUUGAGUUGGAGUGAGCGAGCUGGAGGAGUGAGUUUCGGUGAGUGUGAAUCAAAGGGUUUUGUUAGGGCUUUGGUGGAGAAGGGUGGUUUGGUGGUGAAGAAGAGAAUCGGGGAUUUUUUAAUGGAUAAAUGAUUGGAGAGUUUCAUUAAUGAAGGAUUUUUGAGGGAGAGAAGGAAAGGGAUGGCUGUUUGGACUUAUCCUUAUUUCAGCUUAUUUUUUUUUUAGAGUUUAUGCCGUGUCAAUCAUCUGACUCGUGAUCCGAUCACUUGACUAGAUUGAUAUCCGGAUCGGGUUUCAAAACUAUGAUUUCUAUAAUUAGGUUACAUUUCGUUAUAGUCAUGUAUUUGAAAAAUAUUUAGUAUUAUAUAUAUAUAUAUAUAUAUAUAUAUAUGUUUUACUAAAAAUUAUUUUAAAAUUUUAAUUAAAAUAUAAUAUAUUUUAUAACUUUUUUUAAAAUGUAUUUUUUAAAAUCACAUAUCUAUCACAAAGAAAGAUCUUUUCAUACAUCCCAACUUUAGGCUAGAAGAUAUUCAGGGCCAUUCCACUACCCUAGCCAGAGUGUCUACGAGGGCCCCGCAGCAGCCCCGUAUGCAUCAACUUAUGGUAUCUCGCACGCUCAAAGCCCUUCUGCAAUCUCUCAACAACCCUACCAUCACUCUCAAAGCCCCAGUGCAAUUCCUCAACAACUCUACUCACAGCCAGCGGAGAACAUGAGUGCUGCCGGUUUCCGUGCCAGUGGUUCUUAUGGAAGCCAGACCGGUUACGGGGCAUAUGAUUACGGCUCUGCUGCACCCGUUACUUACCAACCUUCAUCCUACACUCAAUAAGAUGGGAGAAACCUAGCCAGAUGUUAAGAUGAAGACAAAGAUCUGGUGCUCGAUUGAUGUUCAAUUUUAUCAAAUUAUGUUUAAAUUAAGUUGAUUUAAAGCAAUUAGGCCUUAAGGAAUCAAAUUUGAUUAUGAAACAAAUAUGGGAGACUGAAAUUAAUGGGUAUAGUUAAAAAGACACAGUAGCUGUGGCAGCGUAUGCAAUCUUUUCUAGCGGCCAACUCACCCUUCCAUGGUAGCGAUCGAUGCAUCUUAGAAUUCUUUUUCUGCAAUGGUAACACAUGUGUCGCCUAAUUUUUGGUUAUUUUUAUUUUAAUUAUUUUAUUUACCGAAAAGGAUAAAAUGAUGAUAAAAAAAAUAAUAAUGAUGAAAAACAAGUAAAAUAAAGAAUAAAUUAAAAUUUAGGUUAAGGACAACAUGAUGGAAAGUUUUGGGGUUUAAUUAAACUUUGGAAUUAAUCUAAUUAAUCCAAUCAAGGGCUUAAUUGGAGAAUUGAUAAGUUUUAAGACUUAAUUGAGCUUGAAAUUAAUUUAAUUAAUCCAAUCAAUGUUUUAAUUGGAGAAUUGAUAAGUUUUUGGACUUAAUUGAGCUUGGAAUUAAUUUAAUGAAUGAAAUCAAGGACGUAAUUGAAGAAAUAUCAAAGUUUGGGGUUAAUUGGGGUACAAUUUGCAAGAAAUGAAAACGCAAGGACCAAUGUGUAAAUUGCAAUGAGAUGCAGGGGUUCAAUUAAAAUUUACCCAACGACUGGACUGCUAAAAUUCAAAAUGACAAGGAUCAAAAUGCAAUUAGCCAUGUCCAUCAACACUAUUCAUCUUUUCCUUCACUCGCCCGAACAAAAACGGAUGCAUCGCCAUUACUCCUGCAAUAACAGUCAAUUUAUUACCUGGUAACGGUGGCAUUCUGUGGCUAUAAAGCCAGAGAGAACAAAGGGGCUAGAGAAGGGGGAACCGAAAAGCCACUGGUGAUCAUAGAACCGAAAAGCCACUGGUGAUCAUAGAACCGUGAGCAGCAGUGGAAGAUCUUCAUCCCCAGCAGCUUCCUCCAUUUCAAGCAGCUCCUCGCCACGGUUAGUCUCCACCCCAACACCAGAUACUCCAAGAUCAGCCACCGUGGGUAGUGUUGCCACCAAUCACCUCACACAGCAUCGUGAACUCCAACAGCAAGGCAACUGUCAGCAGCCUUGCAACAACCAGCAUCUCCCUUCUGCACCGUGAGCUUCAAUCACUCCACCAGCAUCACUAGUUCCAUCGUGACUAGCAUCACCAGCAGCUUAUCUCAGCAAAUCAGUAGCUCAUCACGGUGGCGACUGAUUUUUGAAGAGAGGCUGAAGCGUUCCUCAGCAACUCUUCUAGACAGGGAGGAGAAGAACCCCCAUCUCUUUUGUUCAGACCUCCAUCACCAUCAACCAUCGCCUUUCAUCUUCCAACAAAUAGCGUAAGCAGCAGCACAGGAAGGGAGGACUAGAGAAGACGCAGAACAACAGAAACAGAGGGGGAAACAGUAGCAGUCGGGCAAGCCUCCGUCACCAUCGACAUCGUCUUCGCCUUCACCUCGCAGCUGCGCCACCCCAGCAGCUCUUCCUCACCGUGACAUCCAGCAGUCUUCCCUUGAAGCAGCCGUCUCCCUCAGCCUUGCCAGGUAAGUUCUUCAGCUUUCCUUCUUUUGGUAAAUUAAUUACCUGUUACUGUUGCAUGCAUGCGUGAGUGAUUCACGCAUGCAUGCAACAGUGGCAGCCGGGUCACUGGUUUGGACCAGUGACCCGAACUUUUUUUUUUUUUUUUACCAUGCAACAUCAAUAAACAGAAAAAUAAAAAAAAUAGAAAAAAUAAAAAAUGUGUAUGCAUGAAUAAAAAUAAUGUAAAUUUAUUGGUUUAUUCACUGAAACCAGAGUCAGGAAUAAAAAUACCGGUUUAAAUAUAUAUUAUUUUUAUUCGUUGUAUUUUUAUUUUAUUUAGCUAGAAAAAUAACAAAUAUGUGCAUGAAUAAAAAUAAAUUUAUUUUUAUUUAUUUAUUCACUGGCACUAAAAUAGGGAAUAAAAAAAUAUUGAUUUUUUUUUUCAUAGCUAUGAAUUUUUACCAACGCCAGAGUUGGAAUUAUUCGAGCUCGAAUAUUCACUGGCGUCAGAGUCAGGAAUAUUAUAAAACAAAUCAUCAUAGCAUAAACUAAUAAAUAUUUAGCAAUUUAAGACAUAAACCAGCAAUGCAGUCUGUCUUAGGCAGAACGUUUAAAGGGUGAUAAUAUCUUCCCUUUUAAGUAACUAAUCCCGAGCCAUAGAAUCUCUGUUGACCAGUUAGGGUUCCUAGUAACCAUAAUACUAGGUGACGACUCCUUAAACAAGAUAUUUUCUUUAAAAGAACCGGAUGCCAGAAAUCUGUUCUUUUUCCAUAAUUCAAGAGAAUUAUUUUGAGGGCCGAUGCGAUGUCGGGUGCGACAACAUGUAUUCUUAUUCUUAGUGUUGUGUUGUUGGUGUUAUUUAUUUUAUUUUUUUCCAUAUUUUCCCUCUUUUCUCUUUAAAAUUCAUGAUAGCCAUUUCAAAGUUCAUAGUUGUCUCCUUAUUUUAGUAUUAUUUCAAAUGCAAUCCUUUUUUUAUUACUAAGUUUUUGUUCUAGAUCUUUUUCUAAAAUGUAAAAUUAUUUUCAAUUUUAUCAUUCAAUAAAAAAUUAUAAGUUGUCCUUUCAAUUCAUUUUUAAAAUUUGGUCCAUAUUUUUUUAAUUCCUAUUUUUAGUUUUUGAUCCUAUAGUGAAAUUAAAUUUUCCUUCCAUUUUCAUCAUCUAAUUUGUUUUUAUUUCUAAUUCUAUUCUUAUUCUUUUGGUUUUUUUUUAGAGCCUUUUGUAAAAUUAAAUUUUUUAAAUUAAUUUUUCAGCAUGAGGUUAUUUAAGAAUUGGAUUCCAUGUGUUUUUAUUGAUGGGAUGAUUCAUGACAUGGACCAAGUCAUAUAUUUAAAAAAUUGACCCGGGUUAACAUUGUUCUUUUAUUUAUUGAGUUUUAUUUUUUUUAUACACGUUUUAUUUUUUAUUUUCAUCCUUUAAUUUUUUUUUAAUUGAGCUUUAUGAUUUUUUUUUUAAUUUUCUUUCAAUCAUGUUAUCCUUAUUCAUCUCAGAAACUGAAAAAAAAAAAAAUAAAUGAAACCUAAUUAUUUUUCGUGGCCUUGAUCUCUUUUUCUUUGUCUUUCUAGGGUGCUGUAAUCACCAUCAACAAAGUGGCCUUUUAAGGAAGAAGUGGCUCAAAUUGUUUCUAUAGUUGGGUUACAUUUUAAUAUAGUCAUGUAUUUGAAAAAGUAUUUAGUUAAUUAAUAUUUAUUACAUAUAUAUAUAUAUACACACACAUUACUAAAAAUUAUUUUAAAAUUUUAAUUAAAAUAUAAUAUAAUUUAUAAAUCCCAACUUUCGCAAGAAUAGUAAUCAUGAGUCCUGACAUGUCCUCUUCCUUGUUGAAUUCUACGGGCUUCGAAUGUCAUGUUCAUGCCGAUUUACUAGGGUAUUUCUUUAUGCAUGCAUGCAAAAUAAUAUAAUAAUUAAUUAUUAGUUGAUAGAGGCUGAUAAAUAAAUAAAAAUAUAUAGUUUAUUGAGUUUCCAAAACAAAAUAAUCGCAUCAUGCAUGUGGUCUUCAACCAAAUCUACUACUGUUUGCAAAAAUAGUGUUCAUGUAGAUUAAUAAGGCCAUGUUUGUUUCUCGGAAAGUAGUUUUUAGAAAAUUAUUUUCCAAACUUUCUUGUGUUUGUUUGUCAUUAGAAAAGUUGGUCAACGGAAAACACUUUCCAGUAAAAAAAAAAUUUUAACUUGGUUUUCAGGAAAGUAUUUUCCUUUUAGAUGUGCUUGUUUUCUGGAAAGUGGUUUCCGAGAAAUUACUUUCCAAACUUUCUUGUGUUUGUUUGCCAGUAGAAAAGUUGGUCAAUGAAAAAUACUUUCCAGUAAAAGGAAAAUUUGGCUUGGUUUUCAGAAAAGUGUUUUCCUGAAAAAUUUAAGGGGAAAACACUUUCCGGAAGUUGUGAAAAAUUUAGAAAUGUCAUUAUUUUCUGAUUAUAUCAAAUUUGAUCCUCAAACUUUUGAUUGCUAUAUAUAUUUUGUUUUGAAUAUUUAUUUUUCAAUUUCAUCUCUUAAAAUGUUAUUUUUAUAUUAGCGUUGGUCCUUAUUUUUAUAGUUGCUAUUUGCUUUUUCCUUAUUAUUUUUUUAUUGAAAUUUUUUAUUUAUCAAAUUUGAUCCUCAUUCUUUUUAUUGUUACUUAUUUUAUUUGAAAUAAUUUAUGAAAUGUUGAUUAUUAUUAUUUUAAUUUCUUCAUUUUUUUUUUUUAGAUUUGAUCCCUAUUAUUUUGAUUAUUAUUUAUUUUAUUUGAGAUAAUUUAUGAAAUUAUAUUUUUUUUUUCAAUUUCAUUCUCAUUCAACUUUUUAAUUUGUAAGAUUUGUUCCUCAUUAUUUUAAUAAACUUGAGAAAAAUAAAAUAUUAAUAAGUUAUUUUCUAGCUCAUUUUCCAUGACAUAACCAAACACUGGAAAGUGUUUUCCAACUCAUUUUCCAUUACACUACCAAACAUCGGAAAAUACUUUAUCGGAAUUCACUUUCUCCGGAAUUCACUUUUCAAAAGGAAAACUUUCCAGCAAACAAACGGAGCCUAAGUACUAUUUAUUGAAACAAAGUAAUGAUAUUUUGCUUUUCUUGUAAAAGAAUUUGAACAAGUUAUUUAAGAUAGUUUCACAAGUUUCAUUUGUUAUUAUCGGGUCAAAUUAAUAAGUGUUUUUGCAUUUUAAAAUUAUAGUGAAAUAAUUAAAAUAUUCUUAUAUGUAAAAAAUUAUAAAUUGAUGUCCAAGAACUUUUUAGUAUUUUCACAUUAGUUUUUUCGUUAUUAUUAGGUUAGUUGAAGGAAAAUUUGGUAUUUUAAUAAAUAUAAAAUAUUAUUUAAAAACAAAAAACGGCUAGCCUAUGUAAUGCUUGUGCUAGCGUAUGGGUGGUGCUAGCUCCAUUCGGGUGGCAUCUCUCGACGACCGAACACUAGCUUUUGCCAUGUUAUUAAUUGAAAGCAUUGCAAUAUAAUCUUCCUUUAAGAACGGCACGUUGUGUUAUUGGGGUGGUUAUGUGAUGUUGGUGACCUUUUUUUCUUCUCAUCCCACUUUAGUCUUUCCUCCUUUUAAAAAUCAUGUUGGUCAUGUGAAAUUUUAAAGUUGUCCUUUAAUUUAUUGAGAUGUCAAAUUCAUUAUUAUUUUUUUUGAUAUUUUUUUUUUUGUUCUUGGUUAUUUUGUGAAAUUUUUAGUUAUUUUUAAUUUUAUCCUUCAAUCUCAAUUUGUGAUACAUUAUAUUUUUUUCAAUUUAGUCCUUAUUCUUUUGAUAUUUUUAUUUUUUGAGUCCUUUUAUAAAAUUGAAUUUUCUUUUCAAUUUCAUCCUUCAAUUAAAAAUAAAAUUUAUUUUUUAUUUUAAUUUUAAUUUGCAUUCCUUCAAGUACCCUUUUUUUUAAUCUCUCUGUAUAAUUGAUUUUUCUUUUUUUCAUUUUUAAAUUUUAUCAAAAACGCACGCGAUUCGUUGUUGUCAAACUAUCUAGUGCUAAGAAUUCGAAAGUCAAGUACCCUGCAAUAUGAAAGAACUCUGAAAACACACACCAGAGACAUGCAUGUUCUGCUUUAUAUAUAACCAAAGUCGUUACAAGAAAGAAGAGAAAGUGCUUAUCUAUUUGUUACAAGAGAUACAAAUUACAUGAGAUUUAAAUACAAGAUAAAAUGCCCUCCCGUUUGCAAGCUAUCCAGUUUGAACUGGAUGUGAUCCUAUUCUCUACCCAUAAAAAUAAUACUGAAUUUAAAGGGAUUUGCAGUCAGGACAGACAAUAAUGAUUUUCCAGCUGCAAGCAUCAAUCUAUAGGAAAAACCUAAUUGAUAAUAAUAAAAAAAGGCUUGGAAUGUGAUGAUGGUUAGGAAAAAUCCAGUACGUUCGUGCACCGUGAUUGUCAGCAUGAAUGUAAAUGCUAAACCCAUGCAGAAAAGGGAGUAGAAAUUAAAAUAUGUCGCCAUCUCCAUGCAUAUUGUUACAUAAUUGGUACCACCUAAUGAUAUCUGACAAAGGAUUAUAGCGGCGAUGAGGGAGAGAUUCAUAGCUAGCAUGUCGAAAAAAACAUAAGCUCUCAUCAGAUUUUUUGAACUACCACUGCUAAGAUCACGACCUGAUCCAGGCACAGUGAUAGCACCAGCGAAGGUUACUCCAACUACCAGUACUGCCACCACGAGAAGAUUCCCUACCCCUCUGUUCAGUUGCUCCGUCGUUAACGUCGUUCUUGGUAAAUCAAAGAUAGGACUGAUGCAAGGCUCAGGCAUAUCAUCUGCCUCCUCCAAAACUUUAAAUACCUUACGCUGAACAACAAAGUGUUUAUUAGAAAAUAUAUGGUAAACAAAUUAAUUAUAUAAAGCAUCAUGACAAUGCUAGCUUAAUGUCCCAUAAUAACGAAGAAGGAAUUCAUCGCUAUAUAUUUAGUAGAUCAGCGAGGCAUUCCAUAUUUUUGAGCAAGUAAAGAACUUUAUUUCCACUUUGGAUUAAUCAAAUUUAAGGUAAUUGAAAGAAAUCUAUCAUUCCCUUUUCUAUAAAGUUGCAACAUGGACAGAAUGUGGAUGUGAAAGUUUUUGCUAUACUAGAAUGUAUUUACUUCAAUCACCUGAUUAGCUUCUUACGUGGACCAAAGCAACUAGAAUAUAAUUUGACUUGGAUGCGAAUGGUUCUUUAAAUGGCUAACCAAAACCCUCUGGUAUUGAUGAAUAUAACAGAAUUAAAUGUGACUGAGGUUUUGACAAUUAAAAAAUCUUUUUAAAUGAGUAUUGAUUGUUCCUAUGCAAUUACUAGAAGCUGGAUUGUGGAGUAUAAUGCCAUUACUAGAAGCUUAUUGGCUAUAAGAGAUAAUUAAUGAAGUUAUCUUUAUUGGCAUAUGGAAAAAACUAGAGAGUAUUUAUGCUUCCAGACCCAUGACUAAUCGUUUUCUUUUGAAGUGAGAUUUGUACUCUUGAGGAUGGAUGAAGGAAUGUGUAUACACAAGAGUUAAAAGGUUGACAACACAAGUAGUCAAUAUUAGAAAAAAAAUUGAGGAUAAAGAGCGAAACCUCAUUCUACAAGCCAUUGGUGCAAACAAUACUAGUUAAAAGGAAAUAACUUUAGGUUUAAAUGAUGCAGCUACAAUCUUAUUGGAGAAUGAUAGGUUUUGAAGGUAGAAAACAAUGUCAAAAGUUAACGAGGCAUUGGUUAUGGGAGGUGGUCCUGUAAUUUACCAUGAAAGAUGGGAGCAAAGAUGAUGAUGUUAUCAUGGAUCAUAAAUAUUGUAAAAAGGUUUUGAAAAAUUCAUGGAUUGUAGAUUUUGCAUGCUGCUUUCAUAGUUAUUUAAAGAAAUAAUGUUUUGAUACUUACAAAGAAAAUGAUGGAGAUUCUAUGUUGCUAGAAUUGAUAAUGUUAAAAUUAAGAUAUAUAAUGGAGCAAUGAAAACCCUUUGUGAUGCUAGGACUUAGGCACAUGCAAAGACUUACAAGAAAGAAAGUUUGUGAAACUGAAAAUGUUACCAUUUUGAGAACUUCUACUUCCUGCGAUUUGUUCCAUACACCUCUCGCAGCAUCAUCCUCAUGCUUGUUCUGAGCAAGGACAAGCAAAGACAGUAUUAAUUUGUAAGUAUACAUUCGAAACUGAAUUUGAAUGUAUUUUCUUGAAAUCAGUUUUUGUAAUGUUAAAGGUUGUCCUUUUCAUUAUCAUUUUUUGCAAGUAUAUAUAUAUGAUGAUUAAUUUGGAGUAUGAUCCCCCGUGAUGUUCAAGAGCAAUUGCAAGCCCAUUAAUUGACUUUGGUGCAUAAGGUCAGUUUUUCGAAAAGGCUCAGCAUAUAAGCAUACCAUUCCAUCUGACUUUGGUGCUUCAAAGCGUCCGCCUCGCAAUAAUUUCGCAACAACACCAGAUGGUUUCAACUUUUCAUUAUUAACAAUCAUUUUAUCCACCCGCAUGUCACUCACUAGUGCAUGCAUUAUCUUCGAACGGCAAUACAUUGCAGCCAAGUGCAAAGGUGUAUUUCCAUCGUAAUCCUUCUCAUUUAUAAGAGCUUCCAGAUCUCGAUUUCUCAAUAUUUCAUCCACUAUUUUCAUCUGUCCACUCCCCGCUGCAACGUGAAGAAUAUUCUGUCCUUUUUCGUUGAGAAAAUCCAUUGGAUCGAACCAAUAAGUAAGUAGUUCGUGUACUACUUUAAGAUGGCCCUUCUGGCAUGCAACAUGGAUGGGUAAGUUGCCUUCGUCGUUUGUUUGUGAUGCGGCAACAGGACAUCGACUAACCAGGAGUCUUGCUCCAGAAAGGAAGUCCAUUGAUGCUGCAAGAUGAAGGAGAUUUCCCCCUUUUAUGUCCUCGGGAAGCAUUAUAUCCGGCUUGCCGACCGCUAGUUUUUCUAGUGCAGCAUAAUUUAAAAAUUAGAUAAUCAAUACAAAAAUCACAAAAUGCAUGGAAAUUAAUAACUUGAAUUUUAUGCUUUACAUAAAAUGACAUGAUGAAGAAUCAGUUUUAAUGAGACCAAUAAUUAUAAGUGUAACAUGUUAUUUUUCACGUCGAAAUGAUGAUAACAUGUAAUUACCUAAAUUUCCUUCCGGCAUAGCUUCUAUAAAAGAAGCAAGCAUCUCCUCGUCGCAACUCUCUACUGCCAAGUACAAGGGAGACUUGUCUUCCUUGUUCUUGAGGUAGGAAACUUCUAGGUCUUCAUUAACGAGGAAACGGGCCACCUCUCGGCAACCCUUGAUGACUGCAUCGUGCAAAGGGGUGUUUCCUUUAUUAUUCUUCAUCCUCAGCAAGCUAGCAAGUUCAAGUGUUUUAUGAGGAUCGAUUUUCACAUGCUCGACGAGAUUUUUAAUUGUGUCAGACCGUCCAGCCCUGGCAGCCAGAUGAAGAGCAUUAUCACCCAGGAAAUUUUUCCUGGUGAUUAGGAGGGGGAAGUGAUGACACAGUAGCUGUAUCACACCUUCGCUUCCAUGGCUUGCUGCCACAUGAAGCAGUGAAUUUCCAGAGGCAGCAACAUGUUUGAAAAUCAUAUCGAGCACUUCCUCUGAUGAAACAUGUUCCAGUUUAUCGGACAAGAGACCAAACAAGGCAUUGAAGUUGUCUUCCUUUGCAUAGGUAUAAAGCUCCUUCUUCAGUAUUUUAUUUGGCUCAGAAAAACCAUACUCUGCAUUCCGAACUGGGAAUUUAGCUGCCUUCCAUCGUUCAAGCUCCAUUUGUACUGGUCUCGGCAUAUCUAUUUGUAAGUGCUCCAUCUCUUCUUGAGUGACUUAACUUUGCUGCGGUUGUAUCUGUGGUAAUUACAUGUCUUGUUAUUUGGCCAAGCAAACUAAAGAAUUCAUAGAAAACAUGAAUGCAAGAGAUAUGCUAUUUAAAGGAUUGGUGAGAGAAACGUACAUUAGCUACAUAAUUUUUCUCAAUACAAUUAUUUAGGAGCAUAUAUAUAAAUGUUUAAAUUCAAGUCAAAAUCAAGCUGCUAAAACAUUAGUGUAUUUAAAAAUGUGGUUGCAGUUAUUUUUUAAAAUAUUUUUUAUUUAAAAAUAUAUUAAUUUUAAUAUCAGCAUAUCAAAUGAUCUAAAAAAAUAAAAAAUAUAUAUUAAUUUAAAGUUAAAAAAAAUUUAAAAAUCAAUUUUUUCUAAAAUAUUUUUAAAAUAAAAAACAAUUAGUAUCAAAGUCAAGUUAAUGCCAUUUUUUUAUAUCCAAGUCCAAGAAUAACUAUGGGUUUGUGUAUUGUAUUUAUAAAUAAAAUAAUAUUUUAUGACUUUUAAUAUAUUUUCUAACAGUAUUAUAUAAACAAAUAAAUUAUAUGCAUAAAUAUAUCAAAUUGAUAUAAAUUUGAUUAGCGCAAAUAACUGAUGCCAGUUUGUUAAGAAUCUUAAAAAAUAAUUCUCAUAAUAUAAAGGAGGUUUAGCCAAUUACCUAUGCCACAGGCACGCACGCUGGUCGACUAGUUACUGUCUUCCUCUGCCUUCACCUCUGUUCUUGCUUUUCUCUGAUCGGUUACUCCCCUGGUCGUCCUCCUCUUUGCCCAGGGAUCAGUGUUAUAAACUGUGAAUGUUUUUGUCUGUAUCGCGAAUUACUGUAGAAAUGUUUUUCUCGUGUAUUGUACUGUUUUGGGUUUGACAAUUGCUAAAAGCACUGUAGUUAGGGAGACAUAAUGAUAGAAAAUGAUCAAUUUGAAUUUUGGUGAAGUCGGACGACCAGGCUGCAGAUAUCUACUGCUCGGCACGAUCCAGAUAAGAAACAGCUGGCGUUAGGGCCAGUCAGCAAGCUCAUUAGUACCGGACUACAAACACUUGUCAUUGGGUUCAUACCCUAAGCGCUAGAUAAACUCGCACGCCUUGCUGAAGACAUGAUACGCGGGUCUGUAGACCAUCAUGCAUACUGUAAUUAAUGUGAUUUUUUAUAUUAUAUAAAAUUACAUGCAAAGGGAUUGGCCGGCUGGGCCUGACACCAGGCACGCAACAAUCGUGCCUUUUCUUCCUCAGUUCGUUCCUCCUGGUGUGUUCUGUGUGUUUCGUUCCCCUGCUGUGGUCUGUUCGUGGGCUUUCUCUGUUCUUUUCGUUCUCUCCGUUCGUCCUCUGGUUCUCUCAGGAAAUUCCGUCUUUUUGUUUUUUAAUUUCGCCCCUGGAUUUUAGUGCCAUAUACAAAACAGUCCCUUAAUUUCUGAAUGUUUCAAUUCAGUCCUUAAUUAAUUCUUCAACUUUUAAUUCUUUCAAAAUUACACCUAGAAAGAUCAAUUAAACUCCCUACAGUAACCCCACCUUUUCACUUUGAUCCUUAAUCUUUAAUUCCUUGCAAUUUUGACCCAAAUGAGCCCCAAACUUUGGUAUUUUUUAAAUUAAGCACUUGAUUUCAUUAAUUAAACUAAUUUUAAGUUUAAUUAAGUCCCAAAACAUAUGAAUUCUUCAAUUAAGCGCUUGAUUUGAUUAAUUAAACUGAUUCAAAGUUUAAUUAAGUUCUAAAACUUUCAAUUUAUGUUGUCUUGACCCAAAUUUCAAUUUAUUCUUUUAUUUUUUUCAUCAUCAUUUUUUAUUCUCAUUUUUAUUAUUUUUAUAAAAAAAAUAAAACAAAAUAAAAUAAAAAUAGUAAAAAAUUGGGUUAUGAAAAUAAAUGUAAAAUCAGUCACUAUCAUCAUCGCCAUCACCAUCACUCAUUAUUAGGGAUUUUCUUUUAUGACUCAAAUAGAAAAAGGCCUUAAACAGUUAUGAUAGGCUUAUAGACUCAAUAGAACAUAUAUAAAAUAUGUGUUUCAUAUGCAAGAUUCUUUCGACCAUGUUUUGAGGAUAUACCUAGAUGUGAUGCCAUAAUUUUGAUUUCAAAUCUAUUAUUGGCUUUUAGAAUCUUUGUACAAAGCUCAUAGCUUAGUUUUGAAUAAACAUACAAGCCACGAAAAGCUCUAUCUAGGUGGAAGGGUACUAUACUACCUAAUAUAAAGGGUAUCACAACAAGAGAACAACCCAGAAGGACGAACCAGAAUAGUAGGACUGUUAUUCCCCUGUUGCUUCUCAAAGAAACAGAAAAACGCGUAAGAACUAGAGAAGAUAAGGACGAAAGAGAAAGAAAAAACACGGGGAAAAAGGACUAAGGAGCACAAAACAGAGAAAACUAGAGGAGAAAACAAAUAAAAAACAAAAAGGAAGAGAAGAGAAUCUUCCAAAGCCAGUGUUAUUCCCAGUCUUUCGCCUCCAGCAACGUUUGCAGAUCAGGUAAGUUUUUUGUUCCCUCCUUUUUUAUUUUUCAUUACAAAGUUACUGUGCAGCUUGAAUUUAAUUAAUUCUUCACUGUGCACACACGUGUUGUGUGAGCCUCCUGCUGGCCAGCUGGGUCCAGCCCAGCCACAUAGGCUGAGCUGGGCCAAGCUCAAAUAAAUAAAAAUAAUAAAAAAUAUGUAUGAAUGAAUAAAAAUAAUAAAAAUAAUAAAAAUUUAUUGGUUUAUUCACUGACACCAGAAUUAGGAAUAAAAAUACCGGUUUAAAUUUAUAUUAUUUUUAUUCAUUAUAUUUUAUUUUUUUAGCUAGAAAAAUAAAAAAAAAUAUGUGCAUGAGUAAAAAUAAAUUUAUUUUUAUUUAUUUAUUCACUGAUGUUAGAGUAAAAAAUAAAAAUAUUAAUCUAAUUUAUUUUAUAGCUACGUAAUAUUUACCGACGCCUCAGACAUAACGUUUAAAGGGUGAUAAUAUUUUCCCUUUUACAUAACCAGUCUCGAACCAUAUAAUCUUUGUUGACCAGUUAGGGUUUUUAGUGACCAUAAUACCAUAGUGACGACUCCUUAAAUAAUACCUUUUUUCUAAAAAAACACAAUGCUAGAUAUCUGUUUUUUUUUCUAUAAUUAAAAAAAAAAUUUAAAGCCGUUGUGAUAUUAGGUGUGACAACAUGUCCUACAAUAAAUUUUACUUGGAAACUAUCUUUCUCUCACACCUUACAUGCUCUUCUAUGAAUAAAAUUGUGUAAACUUAAGAAAAUUAGUGUUUAAGCUCAAAAAGGAUAAGGGACAUGAUGUUGAUACGUUAUAAAGAAAGUAUAAUUCAACAAAGCUUUAAAGUUUCAAUUGAUUCAAAGAAUGCCUAAAUAAUUUCGUAAGUAACAUUUUAUUCAAGAAACCAUGAGCAUCAUCAAACAACUUUUAGAGUUUGCUAAGAUAAUAUAAAUUUACAAUAUUCACAUAAAAUUUCUCUAGGUAUGCAGAAUAAUUAUUGAUCUUGAUGACCAUUCAUUGAAUAUAGAAAAUCUUAAAUUAAGCAAAAUCAAGUCAAGAAUUAACAAAAUAGACUCAGGCAAUAAGAUAUUUUCCUGAAAACUAUAAUAAAUUUCAACCAUAUUUCUCCAUGCUUUAGAAUACAUUUUACAACACUUUGAUCAUUAUUAUUAUUAUAAGACCACACGCUGCUUCUUCUUCUUCGAUAAAUAAUUACGAAGGUGGUUUGUAGCAUUCAAGCUACAUAUUAGGAUAAUAUUAAGAACUCUGCUUCUUCUUCUUCUUCUUUUCUUGAUCGAAUUUUCGCUUCUUAUUUUUUAGUACCUCUUGAUGUCGUGUGCAAUUGUGCGAAUCAUUAAUUUGUGAGACCAUGUCUUGCUCAUAAUUCAUAACGUAGAUGUUUUCCACAGCAUUACAUAAUCGUAAUGUAAAUGAGAUUUUCAAGCAAAAAUCACCAUAGAAAUCGUUAUAAGACAUGGCACAUGUUUUGUUAAUCAAACGGAAAUACGUACAAGUAGAUUUCCCUUUCUGUGAACAGUGUAAAGCCAUGGCACAUGUUUUGUUAAUCAAAUUCUUGUAUUGAAGUUCGAGAGCAAGUGGGGGACAUGAUAGCUUUCCUUGACUGUAAUCAAGUCGUGGGUUAGAGGCAAAGCAAAGGGAUGAUGGCUUUUCUCAUGGAAAGGACAAAAAUCAAGCACUCCUUCGUGUUCCAUACCCAGGACAUUCAAUUCCAAACGUGCUAAUUAACCUGCUAAUCCCUUACAAUCAAUGGAUUACGUCAUCUUUUUUUUUUUUUUUCACGACUCCAACACCUUCAUUUUCCUCGCAAGUUUCCUUAGUUACACGAGGAAAAUGAUAAAUAAUAAAGUUAAAAACAAUAAGAAGAAAAAAACUUCAACAGAAUUGUGAACUAUAUGGUAAUUUUAAUGAAUUUAGUAUAUUUUAAUUUUUUUUAAUACCUAACAUUAUGAAUUAUAUUUCUCAUGGCCAUAUAGCUUAUACGUUUAUUUAAAAAUAUAAUAGAUGUUAUUUUUUAAAGUGUUUUUUUAAAAAAUAUAUAUUAAAAUAAUUAUUUGUUUUAUUUUUUAAUAUUUUUUUAUACCAUAUAUUACCAUGAUAAAAAAUAAUUUAAAAUAAAAAAUUUAUUUGCAGAUUUUUUUUCUUUUUUUUUCUAGGAUAAUAGGGAUUUUUAAGUUUCGCAGCCUACUUGGAAAAUUCAGCGGAAAACGUGGACUUCCAUACCCAUUCACGCCGAACCGACUUUCGCCGUCCAUGCUACACAAUUCUUACCAUGAUGUUCAUGAUUUGAUGUUUUGAUGUCUCGGUGCAAUGAAUUUUAGGACCCUUUCAGCCUCUGCUAAGAUGCUUUCAAACACUUUGAAUUGCAUCCUGUUUGCAUUUUGUUUUGAAAAGUGGGUUUUUUGAAAAGUGGGUUUUUUGAAAAGUUAAUUCCUAAAAGUUAAAUUAUUUUUUAUAUUUGAUAGUGUUAUGAAAAAUAAAUUGUAAAAUAUUUUCUAGUGUUUGAUUAUGUUAUAGAAAAUAAACUAUAAAAUAAUUUAUUAAUUAAUUAAAUUUUUUUUUCAAAUUUAUUUAAUAUAUAAAAAAUAUUAAAUAUAAAUAUUUAAUCACUUACAAUAAAAGAAUAAAAUCUAAAAAGUGUAAUUUUUUUUAUUAUAUCUUAUAUUCAUAUAUAGCUUAUUUUAUAAAAUAUAACUAUAUAUGUCAUAUAAUAUUAUAGAGAUAAAACUUGUGAAAUUUUUAAAUAAAACCUAUUAAUAUUUUUUUUCAAUUUUAAAAGCUUAAAAUAUGUUUUUUUUUUCAUAUGAAGAAAGCCAAAUUAGUUUAUGGUAUUAAGUAGUUAGAUAUUUGGGUUUUUUGGUAUGAAGAUUUUUUAAAAUAAAUAAAUACAAAAAUAUUUUGAUGGGUUUUUUGGAUAAAUAUUUUUUUUUUUGUCGGGUAUAGGCAAUUAUCCUUUAAUAUCCCUUUAAUAUAUAUCAAAUAAGCAUUAAGAAAUAAAUAUAACUUAUCAAACAUAGUCAUGUAAAUAUUAAGUUUUAUGUAUCAUACAUAUAUUAGUUCAAAUUAACAAACAUAAACAUGCUAGACCGAAUUAAAAAGUAAACAUACUUGUCAAAUAACAAACAUAAACUUUUUAUCAUAGUGAAAUCAUCUUAGCAAUCAAGCAUGUAGUUGGUUGGUUCACAAAAUUCUAACCCAAAUUUUCCUCAAAUUAGCAUUUUUUGCCAUAAAUGCUUUUGCCAACAUUUCAUUUUGGACCAAGUGAUCAAAUGCAUCCCCAAGAGUGAUCUCAUCAAAGCCUUCAUUUUUACUUCUGUAUAGCUCAUUAACAUCAAGUUGAUUUUUGUUGAGGCUUUGAAUUGCAAAUGCUACAUCUCCAAUCUUUUAGACAACUUUUCAACACCAUAUCAUCUUCAUACAUGCGAUUUCUCUUCCUAUAUUGCCUCUUUUGUGCACUAGAGGAAGAUGUCUCUUUUUUUUUGAAGUUUCUUCAUAUUCCCCUUCAUUUUCAAUUGAAAUUGAUUGCUCUUCAGUGUUCUCUUCCAAGUUGACAUCAGCAUAUUAUUUGCAUAAUUUCCGGUUGCCAUGUCUUUUCCAACAACAAUUGUCAUUGCCUCGUACAUAUCAAGUUUUUUGUUGAGAUACUUGUCAUGAUUGGGAUGUGCCUGUUCAUAAAGUUUAGAAUAUGCAAUUUUUUUAGUUCCUUGUAUAACAUUUUGAAACAAAAGUAAAUAUAAAAAUUACAAAGAGUAUAAUAUUUAUCAUACAUUCUUCUUCAUCAUAUAAUCUUUCGAAACUGUAAUCAUCUUCAAACAAUCAUCAUCCAACCAAAGCCACUUUUAUUUUUAAGUUUGGUUAUUAUUCCCAUUUUUUUUUCACAGUUUGAGAUGAUUGUCACAUGCUUAGGCUCGCAUUGACGUUGAACUUUUGACUAAUUUCUGUAGCCACCUUAACAAAAGAUUCUGCUCUAAAGGUGGAAGAAGGUUUGUUUCAUUUAAGUGCAUCCUCAGCUAAUAUCUCAAGUAGCAUGUAAGACAUAGCUUAGACCAUGUAAAGUGCUUGCCCUUACAUUUUCAUUCUGUGUGGUACUCAUUUCUAAAAAAAAAAAAAGUUACAAAUUUAUACAAAAUAUAUCAUAUAAUAUUUAGAUUUAAAAACUACAAUUAAUAUUUAAAAGAUAAUACAUAAAAUACAUAAGAAAUUAUAAUAAAGUCAACAAACAAUCCAAAUACAUAACAAAGAUAAUACAAACUCAAGCAAGACAUAAUAAAAACAAACACAUAUAAUUAACACUCAAUUACUAGUUUCUUUGAGUGUUAUAAUCAUUUCUCUUUUUGUUAUCCACUCCAUAUUAUCUUCCCUUUCCUCCCGUUGACUUAAGUUGAUUGUUCGUCUAAUUGGUUCACUUUCCGAACAUAUUUCUUCCAUAAAAAAGUCAUUUAGAUCAACUUCCAUAAUGCGAUUAUGAAUAAUACAACAUGCAAGCACAACAUCUACUUGUGUUUCAUAAGGCCAAAAAGAUUUUCCAUCAAUUGAUCUAAAACGACUCUUCAAAAUACCAAACCCUCACUUAAUAACAGUUCUCAAAGAAGAGUGUCGAAGAUUAAAUAACUCCUUUUUCAUUUUCUGGUGAAUGAUCUGUAAACUCGUUCAAGUGAUAUUGAACUCCAUGAAAAGGAGAAAUGAUUCCUUUUUGAAUACCGUAACCAGCAUUACCAAGAUAAUAUUUCCCUACAAAUUAGAAAAAAAAGAAGAACCUAUUACUAACUUUAGCUAAUUAAACAUUUUAUAUGUUUAUUGCAUAUAAUAAAUACUUUAUUAUAUACCUUCUGGAAUUUUUAGACCAUUAGGUUUUGAUAAUGCAUCACCUAAAACCCGUGAAUCAUGUGCACUUCCUUCCUAACCAACUAAAACAUAUAUAAACUUCAAAUAAAAAGUUUUAGCUUCUAAAACAUUUUGUGUUGUUCCUUCUUUUCAACCUCAAAACUUUUCUUGAAUCUCAACAUGAAUAUUUGCAUGAACAUGGGUACCAUUAAUUGCUCCCACACAAUUAAUUUAUAACCUUUUCCUCUAAAUGUAAUUAAUUAAUUUAUAAAAAUAUUGGUAUUGUUCUCAUACCUUAAAUUAAGGAUAGAAUCUUUGAUUAUUUAUUAUCUCUGCGGGAACUGUAUUGUGCCUGAGUCUUUAAUUAAGUGUUUGUAUAACUUAAGAACUGCUUUUAAAACAAUUCUAAAGUAACAAUGGAUAGUUUCAACAUACCUAUAGUAUAUACCACUAAUAAAAUGAAAUCUUUGGUUUUGGCCUACAAUUUACAAGAAUACAAUUACUUGCUCUCUAAUAGACACAUUUUGAGUUGAUUGUAAUAGGUCAUGACUUGUGAGAACAUCACAUAUUUUAUAUAAGACAACUGGUUUCAUACGAAUUUGUUCAACGCAAUGUCUAUCACCUCGAUUCAAAAUGCUAUCCAUAUAGAAUUAUCGUUGAGCAAUUGCAUUUAUAUGUGGUUCUCUUGGUAUAUAAUUUCUAUUUCUUUAUUGUUCAAUAAUAGCUACCCCUGUAGCUAUCACAAUUACAACUGCUCCCAUACAUGCUGCAUGAAUAAUUUUAUUAUCCAUAACAAAAAAGUGAAGUUUUCUGCUAACAAAACCUAAACAUUUAGGGAAAUAAACAUUAAAAAAGCAUAUAAAAUACUUACAUAAUCAAUACAAUAAAUUAUGCUCAAAAUUAUGUGCAAAGAAGCUGAUUCCCAACACAAACAAUGCCUUAAAAGAAAUAAUUAUAUAAUGAAUUAUGCAUCCCUUAACAAAAAAUACAAUAAUUUAUUAAUGAAUUAUGUAUAAAAAUAUUAAUGGACUCAAGUUUUCUACCCAAACCAUUUCAGUUUUUUAUAACUGUGUAUAAUCAUCAUCAUCAAUGCACAUAAUAUUUCACUGUCUAAUAUUUCUACCCUAAUCAAUUCUUGAACAAUUACUGUCGCACGUCAAAAAAAAUUCCGCACGGCAUCGGCUGGCGAUUUUUCAUUCUCUUUUGCUGAUUUGGAUUUUUGGAGUCGCCACCUAGUAAUUCAUUGAGGGCUACUAGGAAACCUGAUGUACUGGUCUUGUCAGAGAUCGCGGGUAAGGGACUGGUUGUGGUUAGGGAAUGUAUUAGCACCCCUAACGCACCCUACCUGAGGUAAGCUGCUUCGUAGAUUUGAUGUGCCAAAGAAGUUUUAAAAUUUGGUUCAUUCAUCGAAUUUUAGAAAAUACAACUUAUAUGUAAGUUCAUAAUUCUUUGUCCGUGAACAAAUCAAAAUAUUAAAUUCUUUUUUAUUCUUGCAAUUUUAUCAUAAUAAUAAAAAAAAAUCAUUCAUAAACAAAAUACAUACCACAUUCACUUUCAAGCUUCGUGGACUUGAUGUGAUUUUAAAAAUAAAAUUUUAGCUCAAUUCUUAAGCUUUGAUAAAUCAGUUAUUAGUUCCCAGAAUAUAUGUAGAUACAUGUUCUACAUUUUUUAUGGAAAAUACAACAUGAUUUUUAUCUGUCCUUUAGAUAUUUGUGCAUAUAAAUUAAAUUCAUUUUUUUUAUUCAAUAACAUACAUAAAAAAAAUACAAGCACACACAAACAUUUCUUUUUUCUUUUUUUUUAUUAUCACUUUAUCUUUCUUUUCUUUUCUUUUACAUCCACAUUUACAUAAAAUACAAACUAUAAAAAAAACUCAAAAUUACACAAAUAUUACAUUAAACAAUUUUACAAUUACAAAAUAAUCAAAAACUACUCAGAACAGUGGCAAACGGAUUUCUGGAGUUGCGGAACAGUGUUCAGUAGAUUUUUUUUUGGGCUCGGGAAUAAUGGCGGCGCGUCUCCCCACGCGCCAACACCACUGGCAGCGUGUGGGUUCACGCGCCGCCUCAGAAAAAAAUAGCAACAAGGGGUGGCCUAGAUCGACUCCUUCCUUUCGCCCUUUCCUCGCCGGUGUUGACCUGAAAAACAAUAAAAAACGCAACCAGCAAGUCUGUUUUAGUCCAGAUCCAUUCUCAGAUUUUUUCUUUUUAGAUCUGUGAACCGCUGUCUUCUUUCUUCUUCUCGGCUGACUGUUCUUUCUUACUGCUGGUGACAGAUCUGACGGAGUGUUGGGUGGCUCGCCGGGCGGUGGCGCUGUCGUCCGUGAGCACCGUUGAAGGUUGUUGUUCGGCCGUCGCUGGGUUCUUUGGUUGUGGGGAAGAUCGGCGGCGUUCUCGGUGGCUGAGGGAGGGGUCGGUCAGAGCUGGAGCCACCAGCGUCUCUGCUGGAGGCGAUGAGCUGGGUCUGUCGGCGCUGGCGAUGGUCGUCUGUGGCCGCUGAAACCACGGUGGAGACGAUGGCUCUCCGAUGGUAGAGGCGCAGCUCUGCUAGUUGAAGGAGAUGAAGAGGUUGCUGUUGUUGAGAGAAUGAGAUGGUGGAAUCAGGUGGCUGCUGGGCUGUUGUUUGGUGAGGAGAGGCUGUGUAUGGCUCCGGGUUGUGGCUGUUGGCAAGCCGGCCGGAGAAGAGGAAGAAGAAAAAAUAUUCGGGGGGGGGGUUUGGGUGGUUGCUCCGGUUUUGGGAGAGAGGGUUGGGCGUGAGAUGGCAGGGGAAAGAAUGGUCGGGUCUGGUCUCUGUUUGGAUGGGGGGUGAGCGACGACUGUUUUCGGGCAGGGAGAAGAAAAAUAUUAGCGUUUCUGUUUUUUCCCCUUUUGUGUUGCCUCCCAAAAUUACCAAAAUGAACCCCCCUUAUCUUUUGACUUUUGAACCUAUAUUUAUAGGUAAAAUGUUGUCAGGGACUUCAAAUUGGUCCCUCAACUUCUUUCUUUUUGCACAUUUGAUUCUUUCUUAAUUUUUUUGUAUUUUUUGAAAACGAGCAAUAUCAACGUCGACUUAAUGAGAAAAAUCAAUGAUUUAAAAAUGACGCGUGAAAAGUCGAACGCGUUCGAAAAAACCUUUGAAAAUUAAAAUUCUUUUUAGAAGACGUUGAAAAUGCUAAAAACAUUGCAAAUAUAUUAAAAACAUAUUUGUUUUUGGAUUUUUUUUGUUUUUCACUAUUUUUGAAUUUUUCGAAAAAUUUAUUAAAAAGAUGGGUCAAAAAUUGGGUAACAACAAUUACUAUGCAACAUCAUCAACCGUUCACUAAUGCCUUGUUUCAAUUAAUACCUGGCUUAACCACUACUAAGAAACCAUUGUCUAUUUUUACCCAAACCUAUUCCUACUGUGCAGCAUCAUCAACAUCAACGGGUAUUCCUUUUCACAGUCAAGAUUUCUACCGAAACCAAUUCCCCUUUCAUCAUCAACGCACAUAUCACUGUGCAUCAUCAUCAACGCACACACAUCACGCCCAAAAAGCACAGGAAACACACAAAACACAGGAAAUGCAUAUCAGCAACUCAGCAACAUAGAUGGAAAAUCACAUCAGGUGGGUUGGGAGUCUACUGGAAGAGAAGCAAUUGAAGAAAAUGAGAGGAAGAUGAAGAGAUGGAAGGGAAUUGAAAGCAUUUGUUUUCGAUUAAAGAAAAGGAGAAAUAGAGCAUGGGUUUGCUUAGUUUUUUUCACAUAAACCAAACAAAUUGUUUUGUUUAGUUUCUGUGAAAAAAACACAGCAAACUCAAUUUCUGUGAAAAAAGCAUAGCAUGGAAAAAAUGGGUUUGGGUUUGCUGUGUAUGGGUUUGCAGUGUUUGGUUUUUGGGAAAAAUACAGGGGUUUUGGUUUUCUAUUUAUGGGUUGCCUGGUGAAGAGGUUGAUCGACAAGGAAGGAAACGGGGUCGAAGGGCGCCUUCGGCUUAAGAAAAUAAUGGUGAUUCUUUGUUGUGAUAGCAAAAGUGGUGAUUCUUUACUGUGAUAGCAACAAUGGCAAAAUAAUGGAGUUUGUCGUUUUUGUGUAUGAGUCUGUGUUUGGUUUCAGGAAAACAUUUUGGGUUUGCUGUGGUUGAUUUUUCCCAGGGGUUUGGGUUUGUUGUGGUUGAAUGGGUUGCCUUCCCAUGGGUUUCGGUUUACACAGAGCAUGGGAGCAUUGGUUGCAGUCAAAUUAACACGAUAAAUAAGGAAAAAAAUGCAGCACAAGAUUUAUGCCAUUAUUAUAACUACAAAUUAAAAAUAAAGAGGAUGAAAACAUAAGAUAAAUAAAGACAUUUGAGGAAAAAAAAAAAUUACCUAGAAGAUGAGAGAUACUUGCAAUUGAUCAGUGUAAAUUAUUUCGGAGAGAAAGAGAGUUUAAGGAUUUGUAUUUUGGGACCGGAAACACUUUUUGUCAAUAAAGAAAAGUAAAGUGUUUUCUUUAAAAUAAAAAAAGGAAAACACUUUCCUGUCAUAAAGUUUUAUUUCUUUAAUUGAUUGGAAUUGAGUUUUCUUUGACUGAUUUUUCUUAUGCUUACCAAAUAUGAAAAAGCAGAGGAAAUAAUUUCCAUGAAAAUAAAUUCCUCAAAACAAACAAGGUUUUGAUUUUUUACGUGGUUCCUUUCAGUUGAAUAAAUGGAACAUACAACAACGAAAGCUGCCUUGAUCGUGCAAUGUGUAAUUUCAUAGAUUAGAUUUUGGACCUGGUCCACGUCAAAAAAACAAUAUUCAUAAACAAGAAAGUAAAAUUAGGCUUCAUCAUGGUUGAGUAGAAAAAUUUGAAAGAAAAUGAUUACAAAUAAGAGAAUAAUAAUAAUAAAAAAAAACUAGCACCACAAUCUUAUUAUUUAAAGCCUGGUUUUCUUCAAGAACUUCCCUCGUACAUGACAACCUUGUAUUUCUGAUGUCGUGUAAUGAUCUACACCAGGAGGAAUGUCAUCAGAGGGAAUUAGGAGAAGGAAUACCAAUGCCUAUGUUCCUGUUGAGCAAUGAAGAAAUAUAUGAUCAUAUUAGUCUACCAUUGCAUGGAGAUACAAGUCGUUCAUCAGCCACGGCCCAAUAUUUCCAUCUUGAUGGAUCUGUAAUGAAUGGGAACAAAAUAGCACGGUCCAAAAUUAAACCGAGUCCUGAAAUACAGAGACUGAAAAUCCUGUGCAGCCUAAAACUCACAUUUCAGCAACUCAAGGAGCCCUCAACAUACGUUGCAGCUUACAUCAGGAAAUUGUCUGCCUGAUUCAAGUACCAAUAGCUUCUAGGUUCCUGGGACAAAAAAAGAAUAGGUCAUGGAAGUGUACAAAAUUCAAAAAAAUCUAAAAACUGCUCUUAUCCAGAACAUUAAUUUGAACAAUGAGUAUAUCGGAAUAGAGGCAUAAAAAAGAAUAGGUCAGAUCGGUGACUUAAUACUUCAUUGCAUUACCAGGAACUUCCCCUCUUAUAUUUUUUACUCGGUAAGAAGUGAUGCAUGGCUUAUCCCUCAACGUCACACCACCUGUUUACCACAUCCACAUACCAGUCUCAGAUGCCUUUCUCAAUACAGAAGAAUAAAUUACAGAAAUUAAGGAGGGGAUUUGAAUCUUACUGUUUUUUUUGCUCACGCCACUUCUCAGUACUUCCAUACCAAUUCCAUUGGAAGCACAGAGCAGCAACCACCUCAACAAAUGCCAUCAGGCACGAUCUCUGAGGGGAUUAACCAGCGGUCGCGAUGGACAGUAAGAUUCCCUCAAAGUUGCAAGGGAUUAUGAAACUACCAGAUUUAACACCGUCUAAAGCUUUCUUUGCAACUCCGUCGGCUUUCAUUGCGCCAGAGGAGGCCGCUAUAAUACAUGUAAACUGUGGUUUUCUUUUGUUUUCUGCAAUGAAUGUCCACCUUUUAGUUCCUGAGAGCAAUUCAGUUACAGCAGAACAGAGUCCUCCAACAUUUGAUGUAGAUGCGUAUAUAACAAUCACAACAUAUAAUAAAGACCACACAUUCAUAGGCACAGAGUCCAUCACAACUUAAUACCAUUCCAUCUGACUUUGGUGCUUCAAAGCGUCCGCCUCGCAAUAAUUUCGCAACAACACCAGAUGGUUUCAACUUUUCAUUAUUAACAAUCCUUUUAUCCACCCGCAUGUCACUCACUAGUGCCCGCACUAUCUCAGAGCGGCAAUACAUUGCAGCCAAGUGCAAAGGUGUAUUUCCAUCGUAAUCCUUGUCAUUUAUAAGUGCUUCCAGAUCUCGAUUUCCUAAUAUUUCUUCCACUAAUUUCAUCUGUCCACUCUUCGCUGCAACAUGAAGAAUAUUCUGUACUUUUUCGUUGAGAAAAUCCAUUGGAUCGAACCAUUAAGCAAGUAGUUCGCGAACUACUUCAAGAUGGCCCUUCUGGCAUGCAACAUGGAUGGGUAAGUUGCCUUCUUCGUUUCUUUGUGAUGCGGCAACAGGACAUCGACGAACCAGGAGUCUUGCUCCAGAAAGGAAGCCCAUGGAUGCUGCAAGAUGAAGGAGAUUUCCCCCUUUUUUGUCCUUGAGAAGCAUUAUAUCCGGCUUGCCUUCCUCUAGUUUUUCUAGUGCAGCAUAAUUUUAAAAUUAGAUCAUCAAUACAAAAAACACAAAAUGCAUGGAAAUAACUUGAAUUUUAUGCUUUAACAUAAAAUGAAAUUAUGAAGAAUCAGUUUUAAUGAGACCGAUAAUUAUAAGUGUGACAUGUUAUUUUUCACGUCCAAUGAUGAAAACAUGUGAUUACCUAAAUUUCCUUCAGCAUAGCUUCUAUAAAAGAAGCAAAUCAUCUCCUCGUCGCAACUCUCUACUGCCAAGUACAACGGAGACUUGUCUUCCUUUUCUUGAGGUAGGAUUCUAGGUCUUCCUUUUUCCUGGGUUUUUUCGUUCGUUUCGUCCUCUCUGCGUUUGCUUGCUUUCCCCUGCUUUUGUUUCCCCCAGUUCGUCCUAGUUCGUUCCUCCUGGUGUGCUCUGUGUGUCUUGUUCCCCUGUUGUUUCUGUUCGUGGGUUUUCUCUGUUCUUUUCGUUCUCUCCGUUCUCCUCUGGUUCUCUCGGUUUGCUCUCAGUCCUCUGGCCUUCCUCCUCUUCGUCCUUAGUUCGUCCUUCUCCUUGAUGUGAUGAUUGUUAUUUCACAAAAACAUAAGAGAUAUAAAAAUAAAUAAAGAUAUCAAAUAAACCAACCUUUCGAUGAGAGAAGGCUUUACCUCAAAAUGAACAUAAUUAUUAAUUAAAGAACUCUAAAACGAGUGGGAAAGUACUGUAGCUUUCCCCACGGUUUUCCCUGCCAAGACAUAUCAUCUCUGCCACUAAAUAUAUUAUAACUGUGUAAGUUUUCUUCUUUUUUUUUCUUCUGUCAACGACAUCAUGAUGGGGUUUCUGAAAUACUUUCAAAAAUUAGACUGUUGUUGUUUUCUUUCCGUGUAAUUGGGUCUUCUUUUCCUUCUAUCAAGGGAACUGACAUCUUAUCACCUUUAAAAUAAUAAAAAGGCGUAGAGAAUGUCAGGCUGCAUUAAAUGCUUUCAGGCUCCGUUUAGAUAAAGUCAAGCUGGCCAAUCUUUGGCAUCAUCUCCGUUUUCAUUGUUUCCUUUUCCAUUUCGGUUGGCAUUUCUGUUAUUUGAUCACAUUGUCACCUCUUUUUUUCCCCAGCCAAAACCCACACUAGCAAUCAACAUCCACUACACUAGCAAUCAACAUCCACCGUCGUUUUUCUGCCUUCUCCAGUGGCUGAAAUGGAUCACCAGCACCUCCACCGUCAACCACCAGCAGCUCCACCGUCGACCACCAUCCUCGCGACAGUCCAGCAACAGCAGCAAGUACCUCCCCCAGACCAGGUUGCUUCUUCUCUUCUUGCUUUUCCACGCAAAUCAUGCAUGAAUACUGUAAAAAAAAAAACCAACGAACCCUGUAGAAUACAUGAGUAAUUAAUUACCUGUUGCUUGCAAUCUGUUUUGCCAAAGGAAAUAGCCAUUUAGUUAAUUAUUAAUUUGUAAUAAUGAUGAGCAAUUGGUUACAUAUAUUUGGUGUUUUUUUUUUUUUUUUUAAACCCUUUGCAAUCCGGCUCAAUCUAAAAUCAUGUUCUCCAAAAGAGGGGCAACGAAGCAAAGUCUUCUACAGCAAUCAACUUUUAAAAAUACGUUCUCAAACUCGGUUCCUUCUCCUCCUUCGCAGAUCGUCGCCUUCGUCAGAACGCAGACCACUGGAUCGAAGCCGCACGGUCCCUUCUUUGCUUCUGCGUCGGCGGUGACCUCCACCGCUUCUCAAGGAAUGAGAUCUAGCUGCCGUAAAGUUCAGCCUACUCUUUCCUUCAAAUCUUCUCCGCCGGUGGAGAUCUACCUUCACCUGAAACAAAAGAAAAAGGCAAACCCAAACAGCAAUUGGUUUUAAUUAAUUUGUUUACAAGUCUGUUCUUGGUUCUUUCUUAGAGCUGGCGGCGUUGUGAAAUGAAGAACGGGCGGCUACGGUUGAAGGACACCGUGGGUCUGUCGCCGGCUAAGAGCUGUUGCUGGAGGCGGCUGUGCAGGGGAGCCGGCCUGUUUGGUUGAGAGUGAGAGGGAAAAUGGAAGCUGCCAGUCGUGAGGCAGAUCGGAGGAAGAGCGGUAGUUGUGGUCGGUUUUGUAAGGGAGAGGGGGCUGUGAGCGGGUGAAGGGAACCGAAAAUCAACAAGUUGGGCGAAAAUCAAAAAGUUGGGGGGCCUGAUAUUGAAAGAAAGAAAACGAAACGGCAGGCUGACUGAAACCGCAUUGAUUAACGAAUAAGCAUGUUCUCUUUAUUUCUGAUUAACGAAUUGUUUAAGACAGGAUUAGAUAAUGAUUAAUAAUUAAUUAGAACAUGCACAUGGGGAUCUUGCCUUGAAUGAAGCAAAAGCUUCGAUAUAUAAUGGAUGACUCCGUGUUUCAUGGACCCCUCACCAAGCUUGGAUGAAUCGGGCAUAUUAAACAAACAAGUAUUACUUUUGAGGUCUUAAAGUAAUGGAUGAAUUGAGCUUUGAUUGAAGCUUGGAUUAUAUUAUAUUAUAUUUAUUAAGACCUUUUGUUAUUUGAGUGCAGGACCGUUUUUGAUGAAUGGACAAAUUAAUAAUGAUAAUUAUGUAUUAAAAUAUCACAAACGGUAUUAAAAGAGCUUAAUUAAUUCUUUUUAGGUGGUAGCUUGAAUAUUAAUUUGGUGUUCCUAGAAAGUGGAUAGAUAGCACGCCUGUAUUUUUUCCGAUUCAUUUUUUAUAAAUCUUGAGCUGAACAAUUCUUUGUGACAAAUCAAGCCAUGAAAGCUGUAUAUGAAUUAACUUUGUGGCGCAGCGUGUACAACGAUAAACAGGAUAAUAUAAUUUAUUGAUACCGUAUGAAAUUAAACUUUGUCUCUGGUGAGGUUGUAAGGUUGUGUAUGAUGGUUUUUUUAAGAAUAUUUGAGAAUAUAUUAAAAAUAUUAAUUUAAUAUUUUUUUCGAGUAAAAACAAAUAUUGUAAAAAGUAAAAUUCGUCCACGUAAACAAACACCCGAAGUCUGUAAUUUUGUUAGUGUUUGAUAUAAAAAUAAAUAUAAAAGGACUUAAACCUUUUUAAAUCAGAUGGACACUCGAGAAACAUAUUAUUUUUGUUUUUAUUGGAAAGAUUGAUCAAAAGCUAAUUUAAAAAAAUAUUUUUACUUUUGGAUCAAAAUCAUGCCCUAUCAUAGGAUUUUAUUAGCUAAUAUAAAAAUAAGCAUGCCCUAGAGAAAGGGAAAAUGAAAAAUAUUAAUCAUAUCCACAUCAUAUAUAUAUAUAUACUAGCCUUGGUACCCGCGCUAUGCUGCGGGUCAUUUUUUUUAUAUAAAAAUAUUAAAAAAAAAUAAAAAUUAAAAAAUCUUGGGUUUUUUUGCAAGGUCAUCCCAAGAAUCUUGGGUUUGGCUGCAACGCCUUACCUAAAAAUAAUAUUAAUAAUAAAAUUAAACUUGCAUGAUACAAGUUUAAAUGAGCCUAAUUGCAACACCGGACUAAAGAAUUUUGGAUGUGGGUCUGGCUAUAAGGUCGUGUUAUAAAAGUGUGAUAAUUAAAUAAAUUAAUUAAAAAAAACAAAGAAAAAAAAUCAACAGAAAGAGAAAAACUAAUGAAAAAAAAAGAAAAAGAAAUUAAAUUAAUUAGGUUAACCCUUUCAUGGAAGUUUGAUAACUAAAUAGAAUUUAAUUUUUUUUAAUGAAUUUUUUUGUUUGAUUUAGUUUGUUAAUGUUAUAUUUAUUUUUUUAGUUAUCAGAUUUAUAAGAUUAAUAAUAUUAAUAAUAAAAUUAAACUUGCAUGACCCAAGUUUAAGUGGGGUGGCUGCAAUACCAGAUCCAAUAGUCUUGGAUGUGGGUCUGGCUGCAAGGUCGUGUCAUAAAAAUGUGAUAAUUAAAUAGAUUGAUUAAAAAGAAAAAAAAACUAACAGAAAAAAAAAACUAAUGAAGAAAAAGAAAAAAAAUGAAUUAACUGGAUUAACCCGUCAAAUCUGGAAUUCGCAUCAUGAAAGUUUGAUAACUAAAUAAAUGACUAUUGGAUCUGGUAUUGCAGCCACCCCACUUAAAUUUGGGUCAUGCAAGUUUAAUUUUAUUAUUAAUAUUAUAAAUCUGAUAACUACAAAAAUAAAUAUAACAUUAACAAACUAAAUCAAACAAAAAAAUUCAUUAAAAAAAAUUAAAUUCUAUUUAGUUAUCAAACUUCCAUGAAAGGGUUAACCCAAUUAAUUUAAUUUCUUUUUCAUUAGUUUUUCUCUUUUUGUUGAUUUUUUUUCUUUGUUUUUUUUAAUUAGUUUAUUUAAUUAUCACACUUUUAUAACACGACCUUAUAGCCAGAUCCACAUCCAAAAUUCUUUAGUCUGGUGUUGCAAUUAGGCUCACUUAAACUUGGGUCAUGCAAGUUUAAUUUUAUUAUUAAUAUUAUAAAUAUUACUUUUAGGUCAGGCGUUGCAGCCAAACCCAAGAUUCUUGGGAUGACCUUGCAAAAAAACCCAAGAUUUUUAAAUUUUUGUUUUUUUUUAAUAUUUUUAUACAAAAUAAAUGACCCGCGGCAUAGCGCGGGUACCAAAACUAGUACUAUAAUAAAACUCAUUCAAUAAACCACAAGUGACGGACGAAUUGUUCAGUAUUGUAGCACAAAUUACCGUAGACUAUGAAUGUUUUCACUGUAGACCGUAUUAUUUUGAGUUUAGUUUUUUCUAAAAGUACUAUUGGUUGGGGAGGCGUAACAGUAGAGGCUACCCUUGGAUCAAAGAAUUGCAAAUACUACAGGGUUGGGGUUGUUUUUUUUUUUUUUUUGAUUGAGGAGAAAAUAAUUAUUUUGGAUUUUAGUGGGGUAGCACGAUUUAAGUUGUAGAUAUCUAGCACUUGACAUGACUCAGAUAACAAACUUCUAGUGCUAGGGCCAGCUAGUGAGCCUGACAAUAACACCUGGCACUGAGGUUGUUGUGCCCUAGGCGUUAGGUAACCGCACACCAUGCUGAAGACCUGACGAGCAGGUCUGCAAGCCCGUGCACAUAAUAUAAAGGAAAAAUAAAUUAAUAUUAUUUUUUUAUAUUAUAAAAAGGUUGAGUGAUGAUAAUUAUUUUUUUUAAAUUAAAUUGAAUAUCCUAAUUAAAACAUGUUUGGUUCUGUGUUGCAUAGCGUUGGGCUAUUGAUGUAGUAAUCACUACCACUUGUUUAAUUAGGAUCAGUGAAAACUAAUUUUUAGUCCUCACUUCUUGUUUUUUUUUGUUAUUGUUUAAUAAAAGUAGUUCAUUCCUUGAAUUAUAACGAAAAUAUUUUAUAAUUAUGCAAAUAAAAAAUUUUCCUUUUUCUUGUUAUAUCGUAAUUACGAUAUUUAAUCUAUUUUUGUGUAACAUUGUUAAGACAUUAUUUGUUAAUUAUUUUUUUUUAACUUCAACCAUUAUUUUAUUUUCCCCCCCAGCAUUUUAGAAAACACCCUAGAGAUCGGGAAAAAAAGAAGAAAAGAGUAUGUUAUAUUAACAGCUCCAUGCCCGUGUAAUGCUUGUGUUAGCAAAUGGGUGGUGCUAGCUCCAUUCGAGUGGCAUUUCUCAGCGACCGAAUACUAGUUUUUGUUGUGUCAUUAAAAGUACUACAAUAUACUCUUUCUCGACAUGUGAUGUUACUGGGGGUAGCGAUAUGAUGUUGGUGACCUUUUUAUCUUUUCAUCCUAUUUUAUUUUUUUUUCUUUUAAAAAUCAUGUUAGCCAUGUGAAAUUUCAAAGUUGUCCUCUAAUUUAUUUAAUUUAUUGAAAUGUCAAAUUCAUCAUUUAUUCUUGAUUUUUUAUUUUUGUUUUUGGUCAUUUUGUGAAAUUUUGAGUUAUUUUUAAUUUUAUCUUUCAAUCUCAAUUUAUUAUAUAUUAUGUUUUUUCAAUUUAGUACUCAUUUUUUUGAUAGUUUUAUUUUUUGAGUCUUUUUGUUGAAUUAAAUUUCUUUUUAAUUUCACCCUUCAAUCAAAAAUACAAUUUAUUUUUUAUUUUAAUUUUAAUUCUCAUUCCUUCAAUUAUUAUUUUUAUCUUUCUAUAUAAUUGAUUUUUCAUUUUUAAAUUUUAACAUUUGAUUAGUUGUGAAUUAUACUAUUUUUUUAUCCAAUUUCUUUAUUUUAUAUUUAAUGGGUCGGAAAUUGAGUCACAUUAUUUAUUCUCUUUUAAAAUAAUAUUUUUUCAAGUUAUCAUGAUCAUUUUUUCUUAAUUUGUUCUAUAUACUCUAGCUCAUUAUUUUUUUUAUUAUUUAAUUAAAAUAAAACAAAUCUAUUUAGUCUAGUCUAUAACUGGUCUAUCAUUCAUUUUUCUCUAUGCUUUAGAACAUUAUGUUUUAUAUGAAAGAAAAGGAAUCCAGCCCCACAUCAUAGCUCAGGUCCACGACUAGUACAUACUAUAUUUAUCAAAAACGCACGCGAUUAGUUGUUGUCAAACUAUUUAGUGCUAAGAAUUCGAAAGUCAAGUACCCUGCAACAUGGAAGAACUCUGAAGAGACACACCAGUGACAUGUAUGUUCUGCUCUAUAUAUAACCAAAGUCGUUACAAGAGAGAAGAGAAAGAGCUUAAUAUCUAUUUGUUACAAGAGAUACAAAUUACAAAAGAAGACAAAAUACUUAUUUUGCACCUGAAACUAUCAAUCUAAAGGUCAAAAAAUAUUGGGUAAGAACAAAACAGACUUGGAAUGUGAUGAUGCCUAUGAAAUAUCUAGUGUGUUCUUGCUGCGUCAUUGCCAGGAUGAAUGUAAAUGCUAAACCCAUGCAGAGAAGGGAGUAAAAAUUACAAAAUGUCGCCUUCUUCAUGCUUGAUGUUACAUCACUGGCACGACCUAAUGAUAUCUGACAAAGGAUUAUAGCGGCGACGAGGGAGAAAUUCAUAGCUAGCAUGUCAAAAUAAAUAUAAGCUCUCAUCAGAGUUUUUGAACUACCACUGUUAAGAUCACGACCUGAUCCAGAACUACCACUGUUAAGAUCAAGACCUGAUCCAGAACUACCACUGUUAAGAUCACGACCUGAUCCAGAACUACCACUGUUAAGAUCAAGACCUGAUCCAGAACUACCACUGUUAAGAUCACGACCUGAUCCAGGCACAGUGAUAGCACCAGCGAAGGUUACUCCAGCUACCAGUACUGACACCACGAGAAGAUUCCCUACCCUUCUGUUCAGUUCCUCCGUCGUUAACGUCGUUCUUGGUAAAUCACACUCAGUCUUAUCAUCUGCCUCCACCAAAACUUUAAAUACCUUACGCUGAACAACAAAGUGUUAAUUAGAAAAUAUAUGGUAAUUCAUCGCUAUUGAGUAGAUCAGCGAGGCAUUCCAUAUUUUCUUUUGAAGUUAGAUUUGUACUCUUGAGGAUGGAUGAAGGAAUGGGUAUACACAAGAGUUAAAUGGUUGACAACACAAGUAGUCAAUAUUAGAAAAAAAAUUGAGGACAAAGAGCGAAACCUCAUUCUACAAGCCAUUGGUGCAAACAGUUCUAGUUAAAAGGAUAACUUUAGGUUUAAUCUUACUGGAUAGAAUAAAAGGUUUUGAAAGGUAACGAGGCAUUGGUGAUGGAAAGUAAUCUAGGAAAUAAAAUUAUGAUUGUCAUGGGAGGAACAUGGCAUAAGGAGGUAGAUUUGAUAUAAAUAACUCUAUUUGAGAUUCUAGAUCUAGAGUGGAAUACAAUGAUAAUAAAUAUUUUAAUUGUCAUUGCAAAGGCCAUGUUUGGUAUCAUUGUGAGAAGAUGAAAGCCGCCUUAGAAGAAUUACGAGAAAUCUAGAGAUGUUACGAAAACCAUGAAAGAUGGGAGUAAAGAUGAUGAUGUUCUCAUGGAUCAUAAAUGUAAUUAGGUUUUGAAAAAUUCAUGGAUUGUAGAUUAUGCAUGCUCCUUUCAUAAACAUUAUUUAAAGAAAUAAUGUUUUGAUACUUACAAAGAAUAUGAUGGAGAUUCUAUAGCGCUAGAAAACCCUUUGUGAUGUUAGUCACAUGCCAAGACUUAAAAGAAAGAAAGUUUGUGAAACCGAAAAUCUUACCAUUUUGCGAACUACUGCUUCCUGCGAUUUGUUCCAUACACCUCUCGCAGCAUCAUCCUCAUGCUUGGUAUCGAUUCGCUUGCUCUGACCAAGGACAAGGAAAGACAGUAUUGGGUUAUGAAAAUAAAUAUAAAAUCAAUUUUUAUAUAAAUUUUUUUUCAUAUUCAUUUUUUUUCUCAUUUUUAUUAUUUUUAUAUAAAAUAAAAUAAAAAUAGUGAAAAAUUGGGUUAUGAAAAUAAAUAUAAAAUCAAUCACCAUCAUCAUUACCAUCACAUCACCAUCACUUGUUAUUAGGGAUUUUCUUUGAUGGCUCAAAUAGAAAAAGACCUUAAACAGUUAUGAUAGGCUUGUAGACUUAAAAUAACAUAUAUAAAAUAUGUGUUCCAUAUGCAAGAUUCUUUCGACCAUGUUUUGAGAAUAGACCUAGAUGUGGUGCCAUAAUUUUGAUUUCAAAGCUACUAUUGGCUUUUAGAAUCUUUGUACAAAGCUCAUAACUUAGUUUAGAAUAAACAUACAAGCCAGGAAAAGCUCUAUCUAGGUGUAAGGGUACUAUACUACCUAAUACAAAGGGUAUCACAACAAGAGAAUAAGAGAACAACCUAGAAGGAUGAACCAGAAUGGCAGGACUGUUAUUCCCCUGUUGCUUCUCAAAGAAAUAGAGGAACGCGUAAGAACCAAAGAAGAUAGGGACAAAAAAGAAAGAACAAACACGGGGAAGAAGGACUAAGGAGCACAUAACAGAGGAAACCAGAGGAGAAAGCAAAUAAAAAAUAGAAAGAAAGAGAAGAGAAUCUUCCAAAGCUAGUGUUAUUCCCAGUCUUUCGCCUCCAACAAUGUUUGCAGAUUAGGUAAGUUUUUUGUUCUCUCCUCUUUUAUUUUUCAUUACAAAGUCAUUGUGCAGCUUGAAUUUAAUUAAUCCUUCACUGUGCACACACGUGUUGCAUGUGCCUCCUGCUGGCCAGCCGGGUCAGAAUAGCAGGAUUGUUAUUCCUUGUUGCUUCUCAAAGAAACAAAGGAAUGCGUAAGAACCAGAGAAGAUAGGGACGAAAAGAAAAGAACAAACACGGGGAAGAAGGACUAAGGAGCACAUAACAAAGGAAACCAGAGGAGAAAACAAAUAAAAAAUAGAAAAGAAGAGAAGAGAAUCUUCCAAAGCCAGUGUUAUUCCCAGUCUUUCGCCUCCAACAACGUCUGCAGAUCAGGUAAGUUUUUCGUUCCCUCCUCUUUCAUUUUUCAUUACAAAGUCACUGUGUAGCUUGAAUUUAAUUAAUCCUUCACUGUGCACACACGCAUUGCGUGUGCCUCCUGCUGGCCAGCCGGGUCAGAAUAGCAGAAUUGUUAUUCCCCUGUUGCUUCUCAAAGAAACAGAGGAAUGCGUAAGAACCAGAGAAGAUAGGGACGAAAGAGAAAGAACAAACACGAGGAAGAAGGACUAAUGAGCACAUAAUAGAGGAAACCAGAGGAGAAAGCAAAUAAUAAAAAAAAAGUAGAAAAAAUAAAAAAAUAAAAAAUAUGUAUACAUGAAUAAAAAUAAUAUAAAUUUAUUGGUUUAUUCAUUGACGCCAGAGUCAAGAAUAAAAAUACCGGUUUAAAUUUAUAUUAUUUUUAUUCAUUGUAUUUUAUUUUAUUUAGCUAGUAAAAUAAAAAAUAUGUUCAUGCAUAAAACUAAAUUUAUUUUUAUUUAUUUAUUCACUGAUGUUAGAGUCAUAAAUAUUGAUCUAAAUUUAUUUUAUAGCUACGUAAUAUUUACCAAUGCCAGAGUUGGAAGUAUCCGUAGUUGAAUAUUCACUAGCACCAGAGUCAGGAAUAUUAUAAGCAAAUUAUCAUGGCAUAAACCAAUAAACGUUUAACAAUUAAGACAAAACCAGCAAUGUAGUUUGCCUCAGGCAGGACGUUUAAGGGGUGAUAAUAUCUUUCCUUUUACGUAACCAGUCUCGAACCAUAGAAUCUCUAUUGACCAGUUAGGGUUCCUAGUUACCAUAAUAUUAGGUGACGACUCUUUAAAUAAGACAUUUUCCCUAAAAGAACAAAAUGCUAGAUAUCUGUUUUAUUUUCUAUAAUCAAGAAAAAUUUUAAAGCCGCUGCGAUAUCGGGUGUGACAACAUGGCCUGAGAUAAAUUUUACUAGUAAACUAUCUUUCUCUCACACCUUACAUGCUCUUGUAAGAAUAAAAUUGUGUAAACUUAGUUCUCUUGAAAGGUAAGAAAAUUAGUGUUUAAGCUCAAAAAGGAUAAGGGACAUGAUGUUGAUACAUAUAUAACGCCAAAGUAUAAUUCAACAAAGCUUUAAAGUUUCAAUUGAUUCAAAGAAUGCCUAAAUAAUUUCUUAAGUAACAUUUUAUUCAAGAAACCAUGAGCAUCAUCAAACAACUUUUAGAGUUUGUUAAGAUCAUAUAAAUUUACAAUAUUCACAUAAAAUUUCUCUACGUACGCAGAAUAAUUAUUGAUCUUGAUGACCAUUCAUUGAAUAUAGAAAAUCUUAAAUUAAGCAAAAUCAAGUCAAGAAUUAACAAAUAGACUCAAGCAAUAAGAUAUUUUCCUGAGAACUAUAAUAAAUUUCAACCAUAAUUCUCCAUGCUUUAGAAUACAUUUUACAGCACUUUGAACAUUAUAUAUAUAAAGAAUCCAACCCCAUAUCAUAGCUCAGGUCCACGACUAGUACAUACUAUUUAUCAAAAACACAUGCGAUUAGUUGUUGUCAAACUAUUUAGUGCUAAGAAUUCGAGAGUCAAGUACGUUCUGAAUUAUAUAUAACCAGAGUCGUUACAGAGAGAAGAGAAAGAGCUUAAUAUCUAUUUGUUACAAAUUACGUGAGAUUUAAAUACAAGAUAAAAUGCCCUCCCGUUUGCAAGCUAUUCUCUACCCAUAAGAGAAGUCCGUACAUCCAUCCUUCUUUUCAUUCGAGCCAUGAAUUUAAAGGGAUUUGCACGCAGGAAAGACAAUACUGAAUUUGCAGUUGAAAGCAUCAAUCCAUAGGAACAAACUAAUUGGGUAAAAAAAAGAUAGGCUUGUAAUGUGAUGAUGGUUAUGAAAAAUCCAGUACGUUCUUGCACCGUGAUUGCCAGGAUGAAUGUGUAUGCUAAACCCAUGCAGAGAAGGGAGUAAAAAUUAAGAAAUGUCGCCAUCUCCAUGCUUGAUGUUACAUAACUGGUACGACCUAAUGACAUCUGACAAAGGAUUAUAGCGGCGAUGAGGGAGAAAUUCAUAGCUAGCAUGUCAAAAAAAAUAUAAGCUCUCAUCAGAUUUUUUGAACUACCACUGCUAAGAUCAGAACCUGAUCCAGGCACAGUGAUAGCACCAGCGAAGGUUACUCCAGCUACCAGUACUGCCACCACGAGAAGAUUCCCUACCCCUCUGUUCCGUUCCUCCGUCGUUAACGUCGUUAAAUCAAAGUUAAGAUUGAUGUCAAACUCAGUCUUAUCACCUGCCUCCACCAAAACUUUUAAUACCUCACGCUGAACAACAAAGUAUUAAUUAGAAAAUAUAUGGUAAACAAAAUAUAUAAAGCAUCAUGACAAUGUUAGCUUAAUGUCCAAUAAUAACGAAGAAGGAAUUCAUCGCUAUUUAGUAGAUCAGUGAGAUAUUCCAUAUUUUUGAGCAAGUAAAGAACUUUAUUUCCAUUUUGGAUUAAUCAAAUUUAAGGUAAUUAAAAGAAAUCUAUCAUUCCCGUUCCGUAAAGUUGCUACUAGAAUAUAUUUUGGAUAAAAUGUGGAUGUAAAAGUUUUUGCUAUACCAGAAUAUAUUUGCGUCCAUCACUUGAUUAGCUUCUUAUGUGGACCCAAACGGCUAGAAUACUAAGUAAUUUGACUUAAAGGAAAUUUUUUGUGUCUUCUCUUGUUCUACAGGUAUAAAAAAAAUCAAAUGUGACUGAAGUUUUGACAAUUAAUAGAGCUUUUCAAGUAAGUAUUGAUUAUUCAUAUAAUGCCAUUACAUUGGUCAAAACUCACAAUAUUAUAAGAUCAUGACGCUUACAACAUGAAUUCAAUAACAUUUUAAAUUCUUGUAGUAUCUUGUUUUGUGAACUUUACACAUGUUCUUAGUAAUCAUGUCACACAGAUCAUUUGGCAAAGCAAUGGCAAAGCAAGGAAUGCAUAGAGAAGCGAAUUUAGUUACAUGGUUUUUGUUUUUAUUAAUUUCAAAGUUUGGUUUAUGUUAUGGCUUUGUGGGUUUAUAGGACAUUGACAUCAAAUUGUUUAAUAGAAAAAAAAAAAAAAAAACGAUUUCGUUCUUUGAUAGUGAAGAAUGUUUUAGCAACUCAAGGACUUGAUAUUUAUCUUAAGAAAACUAUAGGUGCAUAAAUCCAGGACAAUAAUCGGAACUCAAUUAAGAAGAAAUCAUCAAGUCAAAUUCGAUUGGCUUUGACUCUUUAGGUCAAGUACAAUAUCUGAGCCCUGAGGUGAGUUGACACUUGAGGGAUAUGGGAAAAACUAGAGAGUAUUUAUGCUUCUAGACCCAUGGCUAAUCGUUGAAGUUAGAUUUGUACUCUUGAGGGAUGGAAAGGAAUGGAUAUACACAACUAUCUUUCAAGAGUUAACAGGUUUGACAACACAAGUAGUCAAUACUGAAAAAAAAAAAUAUUGAGGAUAAAGAGCGAAACCUCAUGUUUAAAUGAUGUAAUCUUACUGGAGAAUGAAAGGUUUUGAAAGUAGAAAACAAUGUCAAAAGGUAACGAGGCAUUGGUGAUAGGAGCAAAAGAUGAUGUUCUCAUGGAUCAUAAAUGUAAUAAGGUUUUGAAAAAUUCAUGGAUUGUAGAUUUUGCAUGCUCCUUUCAUAUUUAUUUAAAGAAAGAAUGUUUUAUUACUUACAAAGAAUAUGAUGGAGAUUCUACAGCGCUAGUAAAUGAUAAUAAAAUCAAAGUUGCUAGAAUUGAUAAUGUUUAAAUUAAGAUAUAUAAUGAAGCAAUAAAAACCCUUUGUGAUGUUAGGCACGUUCAUAUUAAAAUAAUGUUAUUUAUUUAUUUUUUAAUUUUUAUUUAUUUAUUAAAAUAAUGUUAUUUAUUUAUUUUAUUUAAAAAAUACUUUCAAAACAUAAUUCCAUACAUAAAGUUAGUUGUGGUGCGUUCUUGGAGAUUAAUAAUAAUAAUUUCUAUAAGUUGAUAUAAAGUGCAGUUUAAGUCGAAGCAUAAGAUAAAGUGCAGUUUUAGUGAAACCGAAAAUCUUACCAUUUUGCGAACUUCUACGUCCUGCGAUUUAUUCCAUACACCUCUCGCAGCAUCAUCCUCACGCUUGGUAUCGAUUAGCAUGUUCUGAGCAAGUACAAGCAAAGACGGUAUUAAUUUGUAAGUAUACAUUCGAAACUGAAUUUGAAUGUAUUUUCUUGCAAUCAGUUAAGGUUGUCCUUUUCAUUAUCAUUUUUUGCAAGUAUAUAUGAUGAUUAAUUUGGAGUAUGAUCCCCCGUGAUGUUUCAAGAGCAAUUGCAAGCCCAUUGGCACCAUAAGGUCAGUUUUCGAAAAGGCUCAGCAUAUAAGCAUACCAUUCCAUCUGACUUUGGUGCUUCAAUGCGUCCGCCUUGCAAUAAUUUCGCAACAACACCAGAUGGUUUCAACUUUUCAUUAUUAACAAUCCUUUUAUCCACCCGCUUGUCACUCACUAGUGCCUGCACUAUCUCAGGACGGCCAUACAUUGCAGCCAAGUGCAAAGGUGUGUUUCCAUCGUAAUCUUUCUCAUUUAUAAGAGCUUCCAGAUCUCGAUUUCUCAAUAAUUCAUCCACUAUUUUCAUCUGUCCACUCUCCGCUGCAACAUGAAGAAUAUUCUGUCUCUUUUCGUUGAGAAAAUCCAUUGGAUCGAGCCAAAAAAUAAGUAGUUCGCGUACUACUUCAAGAUGGCCCUUCUGGCAUGCAACAUGGAUGGGUAAGUUGCCUUCGUCGUUUCUUUGUGAUGCGGCAACAGGACAUCGACUAACCAGGAGUCUUGCUCCAGAAAGGAAGCCCAUUGAUGCUGCAAGAUGAAGGAGAUUGCCCCCUUUUAUGUCCUCGGGAAGCAUUAUAUCCGGCUUGCCUACCGCUAGGUUUUCUAGUGCAGCAUAAUUUAAAAAUUAGAUAAUCAAUACAAAAAACACAAAAUGCAUGGAAAUAACUUGAAUUUUAUGCUUUACAUAAAAUGAAAUUAUGAAGAAUCAGUUUUAAUGAGACCAAUAAUUAUAAGUGUGACAUGUUAUUUUUCACGUCGAAAUGAUGAAAACAUGUGAUUACCUAAAUUUCCUUCCGGCAUAGCUUCUAUAAAAGAAGCAAUCAUCUCCCCGUCGCAACUCUCUACUGCCAAGUACAACGGAGACUUGUCUUCCUUGUUCUUGUGGUAGGAAACUUCUAGGUCUUCAUUAACGAGGAAACGGGCUACCUCUCGGCAACCCUUGAUGACUGCAUCAUGCAAAGGGGUGUUCCCUUUAUUAUUCUUCAUCCUCAGCAAGCUAGCAAGUUCACGUGUUCUAUGAUGAAUUUUCACAUGCUUGACGAUAUUUUGAAUUGUGUCAAACCGUCCAGCCCUGGCAGCCAGAUGAAGCGCAUUAUCACCCAGGAAAUUUUUCCUGGUGAUUAGGAGGGGGAAGUGAUGACACAGUAGCUGUAUCACACCUUCGCUUCCAUGGCUUGCUGCCACAUGAAGCAGUGAAUUUCCAGAGGCAGCAACAUGUUUGAAAAUGAUAUCAAGCACUUCCUCUGAUGAAACAUGUUCCAGUUUAUCGGACAAGAGACCAAACAAGGCAUUAAAGUUGUCUUCCUUUGCAUAGGUAUAAACCUCCUUCUGCAGUAUUUUAUUUGGCUCAGACAAAACAUAGUCUUUCGGAACUGGGAAUUU
This 86140-nucleotide long non-coding RNA is filed under the name Populus tremula. RNAcentral describes it as "long non-coding RNA (PTRE_LNC001523)". The record is from RNAcentral. Lineage: Eukaryota; Viridiplantae; Streptophyta; Magnoliopsida; Malpighiales; Salicaceae.